RNAcentral lists this long non-coding RNA (62023 nucleotides) under Solanum tuberosum (potato). RNAcentral's name for it is "long non-coding RNA (STUB_LNC009426)". The record is from RNAcentral. Lineage: Eukaryota; Viridiplantae; Streptophyta; Magnoliopsida; Solanales; Solanaceae.
UUUAAUCCCCAAGUAAUGAUGUUUCAAUGUGUUUUAUCACAAUCAUUUCGAUCAAUUAUUCCUUUUCUGAACCAUUAAUAACGGAUGGCAGAAGACAAUGAUGUACGCAUUAUUUUAGAAAAUGGUGAAAAUUUAGUUAUCAUACUUAUAAAUAACUCAAACUGCAUAAUCAACCGAUGAACCAACCGUCAAUAAUUUUUUGCUAAGUAGUGUUAGUUUAUUAAAUAUAUAUGUAUAGUUGUAAGUCCACCCCUGACGGGAUAUGAUUUUGUGUGAGAGAGAUAAAGACUAGCCUCUUCUUCUUGUAAUUUUAUUUAGUCAUCGAGUACUAUUUAUCAAUAUAUCUAUUUUAUAUUUUACUAUUUUGUUCUUUUAUUUUUUUAUGAUGUUACGUUGAUUAUACUCUUUUUGAACUAAGAAUUUAUCAAGAUGGUUUUUCUAUCUCAGAUAAUGAUAAAAUUUACUAACAUAUUAUCUUUCUUAAUUCUUGUUUAUGAUAUUAUGCUCGAAUAUAUUAUUAUUGAUAUCACUAUUGUGCUUAGGAUAAAUGAAACUGGCUCCCCUCCAUUUCGUCAAGUGCACGUCUAGAUUAGAGACAUGUGUCAUAUUUAAAGUUUAAAGGUCAAGAUUAUAUUAUAUUAACAAAUAUCAUAACCAUAGUUAAAUUAACUAAUUUUAGAAAAUUAAUCUCCAAAUUUGGUAAGAAUUACAAUAUAUUCUAAACAAAAUUUGAUACUUAUUAAUAUCAUUAAUUUCAUAUUAUAUUUUUUUAUUUAAUUAUUAAAUUCUAUGAUAUUUAAGGUGAGAAUCAACUAAACAAUUUAUGUACUACUAAACUUUGCUAUUGAAAUAUUAUAUAUACUAUGUUGAGAAACAAAACAAAAAAGUUAAGAAUUAUCACGGUGGAAAAAAACCAUAAAAUAAAAAUAAAAAGAUGAAAGAUUUUUAGAAUUAAACGUGAAUACCAAAAAUAUUUCAAGGAGAAAAUGUGGCUAUUGUGUUUGAAAGGGAAAAAUAUACUAUUUUUUUAAAAAUAAAUACUUUUAUCUCUUUUUUCUUCUUUUUUUUGCGAAAGAGAAGAUAACAUUGUUUUAAAUGUAAAUGUUUUUGAAGAUUAUUAUUUAUCACAUUAAAUAUAAACGUUUCAUGUUCUACAAUUUUAAUAUUUAAAUGUAGAUUAAAAAUAUAAGAUGAAAUUAAUGAUAUUAAUAACUUUCAAAUUUUGUAUGGAAUAUAUUGUAUUUUAUCAAAUUUAGAGAGCAAUUUUCUAAAAUUAGUUAACUUAACUAUGAUUAUGAUAUUUGUUAAUACAAUAUAAUCUUGACUUUUAAACUUUAAAUAUGACACAUGUCUACUAAUCUAGACGUGCACUUGACGAAAUGGAGGAAAGGGGUAAUGGAGGGGAGCCGGAUCCAGGAUAAAUUACCCUAGACAUCUUUGUAAUGUGAUUUAAUUGCAAAUAUUACUAAUUCCAUAGCUAUUUGUAUUCAAAGCACAAAAAAAUAUCACCUAGUAAAAAUUACACCCUCCGUUCAAUAAUAGUUGUCCAUUAUACUAUUUACGAUGUUCAAUAAUAUUUGUCCACUUUAUGAAGUCAAUGAAUAAUUUUACACUUAGUACCUUAUUUACCACUAUCAGUAAUUAUAGUCAUUUUCAUAUUACAUUUUUUCAAGACAUUGUAUUUAUUAUAUUUAUAGUAAAAUUACUCUUUUAUUUAUAGUUUCUUAAAAAAUGUGCAAAGUUAGACAAAUAUUAUUGGACACAAAAUGUAAUUUCAUAAAUAAAAUUAGAAGGUCGAUUGAGAUUUGAGAACCUAUUCAAUGAACUUUAUGACUUGUUGAUCUAAUCUUUAACCUUUAACUUGUAAAGCAAAAUGUGAAAUAAUCAUGAAAUUUCACCCAACUAGAAACAAAAAAAGACAAUUAAUUGUAUUUUAAAUUAAUUACCACUCUUUUUGAGGUAUGCAUCAAUCUCACCGCUGACUAGAUGUUAAAAUGUCUCACAUUUAUAGAGGGAUGAAGAAUUGGUAUCUAUAUAUAAUAUAUUGCUGAAGCAUGCGACAGCUCGAAGGUACAAUAUGAAUGAAAUAUCAUAUAAAUCGUGUUACCUUAUCUCUAUUUCAAAAAAAUUGUUUCUGUGAUCACACAGCCAAGUGCUAGAAUGCCUGCCACCACUGGCUCACUUGGGUUUAUUUUGUUUUCUAUUAAUUAUAUUAUAAUAAAGUUUGCCUUUUUUUAUACCAUAACGUUAUGGUUUAGUGGUCAAUAAAGUGAGUUGAGAACUCGAGGUCUCACGUUCAAUUUCUAGCACAAAAAAAAACACUAGGUGAUUUAUUUUCAUUUGUCUUAGCCUUAUUGGACAAAGUUAGUUGGUAGCUAUUGCUGGUGGGAGGCAAUGGGUAUCCCUUGGUAGUGUCUUAACCUUAGUGGGCAAAGUUAGCUGGUACAUGUUGCUGGUGGGAGGCAAUGGGUACCCCUCGGUGGACAAAGAUAGCUGGUAUAUGUUGCUGGUGGGAGGUAAUAGGUAUUCAGUGGAUUUAGUCGAGGUCUUAGCCUUAGUGGACAAAGUUAGCUGGUACAUGUUGCUGGUGGGAGGUAAUAGGUAUCCAUUGGUGGACAAAGUUAGCUUAUACAUGUUGUUGGUGGGAGGUAAUAGGUAUUCAAUGGAUUUAGUCGAGGUGCGUGAAAGCUGACGGAGUGAGUACUUUCUAGCUUCUGGUUAACUUUCUUUCCUAUUGAACAGCACAUGAAAGAUGUUGAAAAUGGUAAAACUAUAUGUCUAGAUUUAUGUCUUUUAGCUGUCCUAGUUGCAUGCAUGAAUGACCUUUUGUAUUAUCUAGUAUCUUUUAUGGUAUUAUUAAUGUGGCUAGAUUAAAGUGUAUGUGUGAAAGUACUUAAUGGUGUUAUUCUAGAAGACUAUUAACACCUAUAUAAGCCCUUCUGGCAAACUAUGGUUAAACGUUUAUAUGCUUUGGUUCAUACUGUUGUGUGUUUGGUAGGGCUGACUAAGGAAGAUGUCUAGUUUUGAGACUGUCUUUGAUUUUAUCACGAGUAUCCAAAAUCACGAAGAGAUCUACCAGCAGAUGGUAGCCACAGAUGGGAGCUCUGAUAUUGACUUGAAUUCUUGGGAACUGUCUACAAUUGGCAUUGGUGAGAAAAACUUGCUGAGAGAUGUUGAUAUGGUAGAGAAAUUUCGUUGUCCAGGCAUGGAUGUCGGGUUCAAGUUGAACUCGGCUUCUCUUGCGAAGCAAAGGGUGGUGAAAGGACGCGUGAAAGGGAAUCUCUCAUCAAUGAAAGCCUAUGAUGAGACAUUCUUGAUGGAGGAUACAAUUAAGUUAGCCCCAAUGGCAAGGAGAGUUCUCUGCCCUGGCAGGAGUGGGUUGGAAAUGCUUAACAAUGCCCCGUUAUAUAACAAAGUGGUGAUGGCUGUGGCAGGUAUUGAGCCUGCCAGCUUAACGGACGUAACUAUGAUGUUUGCUUGUGAGAAGCUUGCACUAAAACCUGACAUGUGUCACGUGUUCUUGAAGGGAUAUUUGAUGUUAAUGGCAUUUAACUUAGCUGUCAUAUCAGAUGUGUAUAACUACAAGAAAAAUGAUAUUAAAGCAGAGUUGGUUGCUGGUGUGUCGCCAGAUUCUAAAUUGAAUCUGCUGAUGAUGGAAGAUAUUGUAGUUGACGUGGCCCAUUUUUCACCGAAUGAGGUGUCUCUAUUGGUCGAGAUGUCUUGUGAGUAUCCAACAAGGCGAUAUGGUGCUGCAAACAUUUAUAAUAAUAUAUACAUGUCCAAAGAUAAUGUUACGUUUAUAUCGGAUGAUCCAAGUUACAAAUUCCCAGAGGAUAUGGAUUAUGGUAGUCCUGAUAUGAUGUGGAUGAACCUGCUGAAUAUAGCAAUCAAGUUCCAUACUCUUGAUGAUUUACGCGAGGUGAUAAGAGACUUCCGUGGAAUACCCGGGAUGUUGCGUGAUGUCUCUCGAUGGGGGAAGCAGAGUUGUUUCACCUUGAGUUAUCCUCGAAGCUGUAGUAUUAGCACUGCUGUUGAGAGUUUGGCGGAACAGUUCCCUGGCGUGCUGAGAAACAGCAGGUACUAUAGUACUAGUAAGUGUGUGGUUGUGGAUUUGUUGUUGAGUAACAUGUUACGAAUGAGUUGCUACAACAUAAUAGAACAAUUAGGUGCCAUUGGUAAGGUAGGUUGCCCUUCUGAUGAUACUUUGAACGAUCGGUUCUUUAACUUGAAUCUACUGAACCAGGGGUUGAAGUCAGAUGUUGAGGAGAGCAACUCCUUGCUGCAGGAGUGGUAUGGAAUAAAGAACUGUAUCAUGCCAGUGUCUUUCGGAGGGAAGCUGAAGGACAUGGUUGUUAAAAUGGCAAGUUGUAUGAGAAGUGGUGAUACUUCUUUUCUCAGACCACAACUAUUGCAUCCUUUGCCUUACUCGGCUUCAAGGAACACUACAUGGGCUGUGGUGCAUGGAUUGAGGAAAAUCGAGCUUGAAUCUACUCAACUAAUCAAUGCCACAUUGAAGCUUAAUCAAAUGACCAAAGCAUACGCAUGGGUGAUGGGUGUUCGUGACACAUUACCUAAGGUUGGGUUGAAUGCACUGUGUGAGGUGUACAUUGAGAACCUCACUUCAAAGGAGAGUGAGUUCAUACAGUUGGUGUUGGGUGAUUAUGAUAUCAACAUUAAGCACAUGUUGGACAAAGAAUUGGACCCGAGAACUGAUGAGCUCAAACUGGGGUGCAGGCCCUUUUAUAAUUUGUCCUUUCCGGGGACAAGGUGCACUGUCGUGUUCGACUCAGAUGGUGUUGGGAUGAUAAUUUUUUACGGUGCUUCCAGUUCUGUGAAUGCCAGUGAGUCGUUGGGAGUUACUACUCAGGCUGCAACAUUUGGUGGAGCUGCUGUCAGGACAGCUGCAGCGGCUGCACUUUCUGAGGCCGAUGUUGACAGAUUGGUGGAUGUAUCACCUCAAGAGACUGCACAUGGUGUGGCACCAGAUCAGGCAGGUCGAGUAUUUGGUGUGGAACGAGCUGGAACUGAUGCUGCUGACACUCAAAGAGCUGGUGGGCAUACAGCUGGUGGACAGGCGGGCUCAGGACGUGGCGCUUCUGUCCAUGGUGGUCGUGGUCGCACAGCGAGAUGGAACUGGACAAGCAGGUAAAGACAUUCCAGAUGGAAAUCACUUCUCGACCUUCAUAAAUGUUAAGUGUCUUGAUUCACAUGUCUUUUAAUUAUUCUAGCUAGGUGCAUGAUCUUUUGUAUUAUCCAAGUCACUCUUAUGGUAUUAAUGUGGUUAAAUUUAAGUGUGUGUGUGAAAGGUACCUAAUUGACAAGAGGGAGUUACUCCAUUGGUAAGCACCUCUCCCUUCCAACUCGAAGAGUGUGAGAUUGUUUUUUUUAUUAGCGUCCUUUUUUGUGUAUGCAUGUACUAAGAGUCAAGAGACAUUAGCUUAACCCUCUAUGAGGAGUCGACAUGUAUAUAUAGCACAAUCUAUAAAUACGUCUAACCUAUAAGACAAUCAUAAAAAUUUCUAAAAGUGUCAAAAUAAAAAUAAUAACAGGAGACACGCUCGAAAGUACAAUAUGAAUGAAAUAUCGAUCAUAUGAACAGUGCAUUUUGGAAUAUAAUUCAGUCAGUGAUAAUAUUAUAGGCGGCUGAUACAUAAUGCUAUCUUAGAUCUACUUUGAUCAAGAAACUGUACAAUAUUAGAAAAUGAAGGACCUUUUUUAGUGUCGGUAUCAAAAUCUAAUUGGUAAGAUUAUACUUCAUUGAUCAAUUAUGAUUCUUUAUUUCAACAUUCAACAGCUAUACUAGUCACUUUUUGCCUUCACGCAUUUUUAUUCUUUCUUAAAUUUUGUGUGUCAAGUCAAAAUCAUACAAAUAAAUUGAAACGAAGGGAGGAAGUAAUGGUCAAAAAACAACAACAUGCAUUUUGUCCCUAUAUACAAAUGUCAUACAGGAUCUUUUACUACAAUUCACAAAGGACAGUUCAGAAGCUAAGUGUGUUCUCUGCUACUGGAAAUGGCUUCUUUUUCCACCAGCUUCUACUUCUUGUCUCAGCAAGGUAUGCCGGUUCGUGCAAAAAUCAGUUUUUUUUUCACAAGAAUUGAUCAAAAUCACUGUGAUCCAACUUUGUUUUUUCUCUUUUAUGUGCAGAAUGUCGUGUCUUUAUCUGAUUUCUCUCCUCUAUAUCAGUUUCCCACUCAAAGUCCCAGGAGAAAAUUUUCCAAGAAAAUUGUUUCUGUGAUCACACAGCCAAGUUCAAGAAUGCCUGCCACCACUGGCUCAGUUGGGUUUAUUUUGUUUUCUAUCAAAUAUUUAUACUAAUAAAGUUUGCCUUUUCAUAUACCUACGCGUGUGGCUUAGUGAUCAAUGAAGUAACAUGAAAACCCUAAGGUCUAAUGUUCAAACUCUAGCACAAACAGAAACAAUAGGUGAUCUCUUUCUAUUUGCCCUAGCCUUGGUUGACAGAGUUAGCUGAUAUGUGAUGCUGGUGGGAGGAAAUAAGUAUCCCGUAGAUUUAGUUGAGGUGCGCAAAAGCUGGCCUAGACACCACGGUUAUAAAAUAAAAAACACUAGGUGAUUUCUUCCAUCCGUCUUAGUCUUAGUGGACAGAGUUACAUGAUACCUAUUGCUGGUGGGAGGUGGCACCCUAGCUGGUAUAUCGUGGUAUUAGUCGAGGUGAUUUCUUCCCAUCUGCCCUAGUCUUCGUAGACAGAAUACAUGUUACUAGUGGGAGGUGACAAGUAUCCCAUGAAACUAGUUGAGGUGCAAGAAAGCUGACCUAGACACCACGAUGAUAAAAAUAAAUAAAUCCCCCUUUUCAUAUUUGGGGAAUAAAGUUACAAACUUUCCCAUAUAGCUUAAUGGUACUUGAUGCUUGUGAUUGUGAAUUUUUUGUUUUUUUAGGUGAAGAGUUGGAUGACUAUGACUGAGAAGUUGCUGGCUAGGGCUUCUGAGAAGCUUCAUGUGGUUCCAGGUGAGAAUUUGUGGGUCAAUGUUGAUGUUUUGAUGACAAAUGAUAUUACUGGGCCUGGUGCUAUUGGAGUAUUUAAAAGAGAAUUUGGAGAAAAUGCCAAGGUAUGCUAAAAUAGCCAUAUCGUUGAAUUAAGUUGAGUUUCAUCUUUGUUGUUAUAUAUAGUUAGAGAUUUAUGUCUAUAGGUUUUCCGGAGUUUUUAGUUUAUGAACAUUCACAAUUGACGAAAAUGCUGGAAACUUCAUGUAUAAACAAGAGCAAGUUAGAGUUUGAUGUCUCCAAAGAUAUGAUUCAAUAUCUUACUCCUCAUUCCUGAAAAUUGUGUGACAAGUUGAAAAGGGAUGCUUUCGUAUCUUUACUUAAAAUCAUUCAUAUCUCGAACUUUUCCCUCUUGGUAACUCGAACUCCCAAGCUCAUGGUAUAAAGAGGGCAAGCAUUCGACUCGUGUCUAGUUGAGUUCUGUAUCACCUAGGAUAGUAGAAUUUCUGCAGUAACUUAACUAUACAAUAUACCCCGCGAUGAAGCAGCUGCACAGGAUCAGUGAUUCAUAGUUGAGGUACUGAGAAAAGUUGAUGCAGAGUACCAUGCUUUUCUAAAUUCUAAUCUAGUAAAAAACUCACUUGAACAGACCUUGAUUUUCCUGUUGGGACUUCUAUGGCUCUAAUAGUACCAGGGAUUGUUUGGUUUCUUCAAUAUCUUCGGUCUGGGAUCGUGAAAAGGUAGUUGUCAUACCCGAUCACUACAUUUUCACAGCUGAUGAAUGAGCAAACUGUAAUGUAGAUAGGCUGAGGGACUUCUGCAACGAGCAAAAUAUUAAAUACUUUUAUGACAUUAAGGACCUCGGAAACUUCCAGGUAUGAUACAUGUACUGCAGGAGCAUUCGGUCAAUUUGCAUCUGGAAUCGGAAAUACUGAUGCAGGUUUUGUUCUGGGUACUGGAAAGAUUUUGCUCAAGGUAAGUAACUACUUUUAUCCUAUUUCUAAUUGUAUUUGAUUUUCACUUGGACCACAUGUAUAACUGUGCUUUCAGUUUGCAUCUGGAGACCACAUUCCUUUGAUUCAUAUACUUGUUAUUGAGUAUAAGUAGAGAAAAAAGGAUAUAUACCUAUGAUGAAUAUCUCAAAGUUUAGUUAAUUUCGCGUGGAUCGCAUGUCCAUGUCUCAUUUGACAUAUAUGGUAUCUACCUAAAGUUUUAAAUAGUGUCGUCAUUUAAGGGAGGCAAGCGCAUUGAAAUGUUUAAAAUUCUAUUCUUUAGAUCCCCGUGUUUCAGGUUCCUGCAGCUCUCACAUAGAUCUACUGUGAAACACAGGUUCCUCCAACUAUCAGAUUUGUAUUGGAUGGUGAAAUUCCCAAUUACAUACUGCUGAUAAAACAACAUAUGACUACCUUAAGGUAUUUAGCUUAUGAUAAAACAACAUAUGAGUAGAUGUCUUAAUUACUCCCUUCAUCUGCUUGAUUGAGUGAAAUAAGACCAGUUCUCUUGCUUAUGAACAUCUUUCAUGUUUUUCCGUCACAGGACAAGACUACUGUGUAUUAUGAACCUGUCUACAGUGAUGAGCAAGCCAGGUAUCCAACACAAAAGAAAUUGGUAUAUAACCACUCGUGUUUUUCCGUAACCAUUACAUGUCUCCAAUUUCAUUUAUGAAGGAGAGCCGUGGAGCAAUGUUAAAAUUGUCUACAUGUGACUUAUAGGUCACGGUUUCAAGCCAUAGAAUCAGCCACUCAUGCUUGUGUCAGGGUACACUCACUUGGGGUGCGGGCUUUUCCCCAGCCCUUGCGUAAACAUGGAUGCAUCAUGGCUUUGUUGAAGAAAUAGCUUAGCAUGUAUGCUAAGAUGAUAUUCAUUAUGACUUAUGAGGUGAUUGCCAUAAAUUCCAGAUUUCUUGCGGAGUAUCAUUUCGACAUCUCAAAGUUGGAGCCCUUAGUAGCAAAGGUGGGUCAUAAUUUGGCUGUUAAUACUUUGACAUAUACAUCACAAGUGUCUACUGUCUUGUUUGUGCAUAUGAUCUUCAAUAUUUAUAUUUUUCUUCUCUUAUAAAUUUUCCAAAUUUCCCUUCAAAAGAAAAACAAAGUACUUUCAAUCUUUUCGUUUACUUCCUUUCCUAUCGAAUAGCACAGAUGUUGCUUUUCUGAUGUUCAAACAAACACAUUUUCGUAGAUUAAGAAGACAACAUGCACUUAAUUAAGUCUGCUUGAAAUAUCGUAUUAUUUAUUUUUUUGCAUGUACUCUUUAGCAUCAUUCUCCUGGUAAUCGUGCUUUGGCCAGAGAAUGCGAAGAUGUUAAGAUUGACAGAGUAUAUAUUGGAUCUUGUACCGGUGGAAAAACAGAAGACUUCAUGGCUGCUGCCAAAGUUUUUCUAGCAUCAGUAAGAUGAUAUCUCUUUCUCAAUAAUUUCACUAUGCAUAUGAAAAGUAGACAUGUAUAUUCUGUUGCACUUGUCUUCUGUAAUUUCUUAUACCGCCCGUUUAUUGACAUGCCUGUCUUGCUGUUGAUACACCAAAGUCCCCCAAAAUGCAUACCUUGUACCUUUCCAAAUAGAUCAUAUUCCUUUGAUUUAUAGCUGAAUAAGCAUUUUGUGCUUGUUAAGCUAUGUACAGUACUACACCUAAAGGUGUCUGUGUUUUGUGGUUGAGUUAGGCUCAAGUGUCACGUCUUUACAUGGUAUCAGAGCUAGGUUCAUCCCCGUAUGGGCUCCCGUUCCGCACUCCUGUUGGGCUUGCGUGAAGGGAGGGGUGUUAGAAUCGGUUAAGAGUCCCAUGUUGGUUGGGGAAUGGUGAUUUGCAUAUAUGGACUUGAGGUAAUCUUCCCCUCGUGAACUAGCUUAUGGGGUUGAAUUAAGCCCAGGUGUCAUAUCUUUACCGUGCUUAAAUGAUGCUUCUUGGUGGAAGUUUGGGAUGUGAUAUUUCUCAAACUUUUUGCCAUAUUGCUCCCUAAGAAUUCUUGUUUGGUUGCAUCUUUGGUGGAUAACAGAGUUUUGCAUUCUCACAGGGAAAGAAGGUCAAAGUUCCAACAUUUCUCGUCCCUGCUAUGCAGAAGGUUUGUGCUCUUACUGUAUUGUUCUGCCGGAUUCAGACACACCUAUAUACAACAUGAAUGUCAUGGUGGCAUACCAUAUGGUUAAAAAACAAUCGCAAAUAAUCUGUCCGUUAUAAGAUUUCCUCCGGUUAAUGGAUAACCAUUUUGUUACCAUAUAAUGCAAAACCUUACAAUGUCUCAGGUCUGGAUGGAUUUAUAUACUAUCCCAGUUCCAGAAUCUGAUGGCAAAACAUGUUCACAGAUUUUCGAGGAUGCUGGCUGCGAUGCACCAGCAAGUCCUAGUUGUGGUGCUUGUAUGGGUGGCCCUAGAGACACUCAUGCUCGGUUAAACGAACCUCAGGCAAGCUUCACCAAUGCUAGUGGUUACCAUUCUUGCAUUUUUUUCGAUUGAGAGUCUUCAAGUUACUUAUAUGAAAAGUGUUAAUCGCGCUAUAGCAAUGUGGAACAACAUUGAGCUGAUCAACGAACGAUUUGAUUUUCCCAGGUAUGUGUCUCAACCACAAACAGAAACUUCCCGGGGCGAAUGGGCCAUAAGGAAGGUCAAAUUUAUCUUGCAUCUCCAUAUACAGCUGCAGCAUCUGCAUUAACUGGUCACGUUACUGAUCUUCGAGAUUUUCUGCAGUAACAAUCUUGAUUAUUCAUGUUAAAACGCGCUAAAGCUUGAACUUUUCUUUGUAAUGUACACCUGAAGAUGUUUGUGUUUCUGACUUCUGUGACAAAAUACAGGUUUUUCAAGUACUCUUAGCUGUAGUUACAUUUAUUUGCUUGUGGAAAGUGUAAAGACGUGCUGAAUUUUUUGAAUCGUCUCAUUUAAAAGAUUAGUGUCUCGAUAUAACUUCUCUAUUAUACUCUUUUUCCCUAACCACAUGUGACAAUAUGAGAUUCAAUUCCUUGACUUUUACCUGUUCUGAUAACAUGUUGAUAGCAUGGAAAUAUCCUAUUUGUGUAAAUCACCCUAUACCAAAAUCAUCACAAGUUAGUCUAUUUUUUAAUUUUAUGUUAUGAUAGAUGUAUAAGUUACUAUGGCCUAAAUGAAUUUCUGUUUUUUUUGGGUACCACAAAUGAAAUUGGUUUUGUGAUCUUUUCACCCUUAAUCAAAGAUCUCGGAUUUGAGCUUGCGUAUGGAGAAAAUCUUGUUGGCCCAUGUUGGGAGCGUCAUCCCUGAAUAGGCCCUGCAGUGCACGAUCUGAAUUUAGUCGGAGCUCUAAUGUGGACUCCGGACAUCGAGUGGGAAACUUAAAAAAAACUUUCAUGUUCUUUUUUGAGAUAAUUUGGAAGUGACACAUAAUAGUUGGUGACUGAGAUCUGAACUCAAAUAGUUUCAUCAUUGUGUAGGGUUCCUAUUGUUAGGAAAAAGUGGAGAAAAAAGAAUAAAACACAAUGGAUAGAGCAUGAGGUUUAUUAUACUUUAUGUUAGGAACCUUCUAGAAACACUAUACUAUUAUAAUUAGUAUUUGUAUCACUUAACGGAAGGGAAAUCUUGAAGCAACGAUAAAAAUGUUUUUAUUUAGCCUAUAGGUUACAAAUUCAAUCGUGAGAUGGAUUAUUGACCUUUGCGUUAAGACGAGGUAUCUACGUAUACACAUAACACACGAGAUGUAACCUUAUAUUGUGUAUAUUCAUUAAUUUAAUAUAAACAUCGAAUGAAAGUACACUUUACCAUACUUAUCUUGUCUCUUCAUGGACUCCACAAGGAGUAUUGGAAUACAGUUGUCACUUGAUCAAUGAAAUAAUUAUGUUUAGAAUGACUAACAUUAGUCAUAAUCAGAAUUAUUUCAUCAUAAGAAUAUAAAUUAAUAUAUAGUAGUGUAUUUGUUUUUAGUAUUCCAACCUUAUCUAAACUACUAUGUGAUUUGACAAACUAAACAUAGUAUAUGCUUGUGUUUAGGAGGAAAUAAUAUAUUUUACAUGAAAAAUGUAUAAAGGAGCUAAUUUUGAUGGAACAUAAAAUUACUGGGGGACAAAGCUACAAACACAUAGAGACAAAAGUCACUCUUGAUAAAAAUGACACUCUAACCCUACUCACCCCCCCUCCUUUGGAGGGCUAGAGGGUGAGGAAUUAAAUAAUAUUGAGUUAACUUGCACUAUGGUACAGUAAGGAGAUGUCAGAGGUUGAAUGUGGUAGGUGUAAGAUGACAGAGAGAUAGGCCAAAGAAAUCUUGAAGAAGAGCGAUUAGAUAGGACAUGACACAAUUUUAGCGUACCAAAAACAUACCGUUAGUAGAAGGGCCUAAAGGUCGAGUAAAAGAGUAGAGGAUCACUACAUGAUUGUUUCUUUCACUCUGUUUAUUUAUUAUCUACCGAUUCUUUUUCAUCUAUGUAUGCUCUACCCUUGUCAGACUUCACUUACCAGAUUAUACUGGUAUGUUGUUGUAGAGUUAAAGUGCAUGCACUAUAUCUUGAAAGAUAACUUUAGCACAAAGCACAUGAUAGGACUUUGCACAAACUCAACUUAAAUUCUCAAUUUUUUCAGUCAUGUAAUGAUGGACAGAAUCCACAAUAGAGGAUUUGAUAAGAACUUUCAACAUCUAGUGUCUUUAAUGACUUCACCACUAGCAAAUUCUAUAUAAUAUAUUAUCUUAUAUACCACCAAACAAAAAGAGAUUGAUCAACUCAACAUUAAAAUAAACAAAUAAAUAAAUAGAAUUUCUUGCAACAAACACAAAACACACAAAAAGAGGAAAAUAGCAUUCCCAUAUUUACAUCAUGAGAAAGGUAGGUAGAUUUUGGGGCAAAAACAUUGGUGUAUCAACUAUAUGAGGGGGCUUUAGACCUAAACCAAAAAAAAAAAAAAAACACAAAAGUGGGGCACUUUUUGAAGAGUAAAUGGUGCAAAACAAAAAAUGCAACCAUGAAAAAAGUAACAUUAUCCCUAUUUCUGUUUUACUUUUUGUUUCUUCCAAACUUUUUUUACCAAGCAUGUUCCUUGCACCAAAGCAUAUUUAGAUAGGUUUUCCUUUGUGUCUCUCUUGUUUCUGAGGGAUUCUUGGAGCUGAAAAUAAACCAAUAACUAGUGUUAGAGCUAAGGAAACAAAAUGACAAAAAGGCUAUAUUGCUCGGACUCUCCAAAAAUGCACUACUUUUGGAUUUGGAGGAUCCGACACACACCCUGCACCCCGCAGCACUUUUGAAGAGUUUUCGAGCAAUAUAACAAAAGGAGAGGUAGAGUGUUCUUUUGGCAUGGUUGUGUACAUACCAAGUCCAUUAGCCUCAGAAGUCCUCAUGAUUCUUAGCCUUUUCACAGUGUUGAGAAACAUCCUAUAACACAUGAAAGUAUUAGAACAUAUAAAGAACUAGAGUGGGGAGCUAGAAAUGAUAACAACUUGAUUUUUCAUAGAUGUAGAUCAUACUUUUUGUUAAUGUCCUUCUAUGCUACUUUUUCAUGACAUGUAGGGCCCGUUUAGGGAAAAACACACCUACAAAGAAUUUCUUCAUUCCCUCCAGACUGACUCGAGACCUCUAGUUAAGGAUGGGCGAAUCACAUAUAUCUAACCACAUCAAGGUUGAUGGUGUUUCUCUAUGCUUACUAAUGUACUACAUGUAUCCAUAAUAUUGAUAGUUUUAUGCCUAUUAUUUUAGUCGUUUUCAUCUUUGUACUUCCUCGUUGGAAGAUGAAGGUGUGAUCAUUUGCUUUCAUGAAUUAGGUCCACCAAAAGCACCAUGCAUAAUAUAUAUAUACUUGAGAAUUGAGAUCAUCAAUACCUCAUGUUUGCUAAUAUAUUCUCUUGUUUUUUUUGGUUGGUGGGGGUUGAUGAAAACUUAGACUUCUAAUAUUUCUAUGCUUUUUGCAACUAUAGAAUAUUACUAAUUAAGGGAAUUUCUUACCCAAAUGGAACAUCUCCAACAAGCAUCCAGUCUCCUUCUUUAUCCUCAUAUGUGAGCACAAAUUCAGAUGAUCCAUCCAAGAGCUUAAAAGACUUAGUUGCUUGUUCCUUUUCACCGCCUAUAAAAAAAAGGGAACAUCAACAAUCACUUCAUAACAAAAACAUCACAAAGCAUACAACCGAUUCGUUUCAUUUAGUCCCUUUUCUACCGUAAAACAUGGGGUGCUCCACGCCCGUGUAGAAGUAUUAUGCACAUGAGAAACAAAUAACUACACUUGAUCUUAGCCAAAGGCUGAGCAAACUAGUUUUUAGAGCUAAUUUAAGUAACAAAACAAGAAGUAAACUUUGAAACAGAAUCCAUACUUUUGGUAGAUUUGAAGAACAUAUCCUCCAAGGUUUCGGCUAACGAUUCAUAGCAAGUAUGAGCAUUCAAAUCCACCUUUCUUCCAAUAGGCAAACCAUCCAUAUUCACCUUCACAAAACCAAGAUGCCCCUUUUCUUUAACAGAAGCUGCAUCAUCCUUAGUGUUCCCAUGAUUGAUUUUCUUCUUCGAGUGCUCCUUCUUAUCGUUCCCGCCAACUCCCUUGUCUUCAUCAGCAUUUAGAACCUUUGAUUGAUUAACCAAGCUGUUCAUUCUGUAUGCCCUUAUGGGUGGCCAUCCCACAACCUGACUGCUUUCAGAAAUCAAAAUAAAUGAAUCAUCAAUUAUAUACUCAAUCAUCCAUCAAGAAUCCAAAUUCAUGAACUUUGUAAUCUUAGCUAAAAAGAACAAGUCAAAAGAAAGAGUUAAAAAAAAAGAGAGGAAAGAGGCAUAUGAAUGUUUGCAAAAUGUUUUCUUUUUCUUUUCUAAAAAGUACAAAAAAAAAUUGUCAAAAAUUAUCAAAGUUGCACUAAAAGUAGGAUUAGAGGGAAUAUAAUGAUAGACUAUCAUAAUGACAGGGCAACCAAAAGCAACUUUUUUGGCAGAUUUUAGAUUAAAGGUAAUGAGAUGAACAAAGGUGAUGCAUGCUCUGCCAGCUUCUUAGAACCAGUAAUUAAAAAAUUAAACUAAUAACUCAUCAAAGACAAAAGCUAAAACAAAUUAAAGGAAUAUAUACUCAACAAUAAAAAUCUAUUCUUGACUAGAUUAAACACAACUUUUCAUAGAUAAACAUGAAACUAUUGUAAAAAAAAGUUGUAAUAUUAAAGGAAAGAACUUUUCUUCAAGAUCAUGAAAACCCUACAAGGAAUACACAAUUUCUUGAGUAAACUAAACUUAAACUUCAUUGUUAGUCAUCAAAAUUAAUGUAAAAGCUCUAAAAUCAAAGAAAAGAACUCUGCUUUAGGAACCAACAAAAAACAAAAGCAAAAACAAAUCCAAGGAACACAUAACAAAAAUCCUAGAAAAAAAAUGAAACUUUACAUAAGAACCUAAAAUCAUUUACUCCCUUUUGAGAUACACAAUUUCUUGAGUAAACUAAACAUGAACUAAAUGCAAAAAGAUUACUAAAAUUAGAGAAAAGAACACAUUUUUAUGAAAAUUUACGAAAUUCUUGGAAAAAGUGAAACUUUACAUAGGAACCUAAAAUCACUAAGACCCUCUGAGAGAAACACUUUCUUCAGUAAACUAAACAUACCACCAUGGCUAAACAUGAUAUAAAUGCAAGAAAAAUACUAAAUUUAGAGAAAAGAACACAUUUUUAUGAGAAAAAUAUGAAAUACUAACCUUGCACCAGUAGGAGGAGAUCCAACCUCAGUUGUAGUACCAGCAAAAUCAGCAGCUCUUUUAGUACCAGAAACACCACCACUAAUGGAUCUUUUAGCUGAAAAUCCAUUAGGAAAAUCUUUAGCAGUUAAAAUCCUACCAUACUCACCCCAUGGUGACUUCUUAGUCUUCCCCCCCACCCCACCACCCCCACCCCCACUGUUAAGGCUAAGACCUAACCCCAACUCAAGCUCUGUUUCAUCCUCAGAACAAAUACCCAUAUUGUAAUCUUGCUCCAUUUUUGCACCUUUUUCACUAAGACUUGGUUCCAUGAAAAGGGGUUUUUUCAAGAAUCUGUGAGUAAAUUUCAAGAAAAUGUGUAAGAGUAAAAUGGGGUUACAGGGGAUCAAGAGAAUGUAUAGAUGGGGGGUUGUGGGGGGUGGGGUAAAAUGGUGGAGGUAGUGAUGAUUAUGGGACCCAUAUGUCUGGUAGUGCACCAAGCACUGUCCUUGAAAGAUAAUGAAUUAUAAUUCUUGUUUGUUCAUCAAGUUUCUUUAAAACCAAUUUCUCAAAACUCAUGAUUUUGGGUUUUGGUUUUGUAUUGCCAUGCUUGCUUUUUUGGUAUUAAUUAGUACUUGAAAGUGUGUGUUUUUUCUUUGUCCCCUUUUGCCACCUCUUUUGUCCAAAUGUUGGAAACAAAAAAUAGUAUGGGAAUCAUUUUGUAUUUCUUGAGUUCUGUAAAUGUCUAAAAUUAACUUUACAAAAUACUAUCAUGUCCAUUUUUAAUUAUCAUGUUACGUAUUUUAAAAGUUAAUUUUGACUAAGUUUUAAAAUUAUAUUAUAUUAUAUUAAUUUGAUAUUUUAAAUAAAAAAAAUUAGAUAUUCAAAAACUAUACGAAAAGUACUAUAAAUUGUAAUUUUUUACAUAUCGUAAAAUGUAGAUCAAAGUUCUUAUCGUUUGACUCUAAAAGGGGAAACUAUGAUAAUUAAAAGUGGACGGAGGGAGUAAUAGUAUUUAAUAGCAAAGGUAAAAUAGAUACAAAAAGUAAAUUAUCUCUUGAUUUUCUAAACUGGAGAAUUUUUGUUGGACAACUAUAUAUAUUUAGUAUACUAGACAAUUAUUGUUGGACGAAAAAAGUAAUAAUCUUUUAAAAUUUUAAAUUUAGUUACUACUAAGAGGUAAGGUGGAAAAGAUUGUUUUAUGCUUGGAAGCUUUCGAUACCUCAGAUUUAUUUACUCGUGGCAACCUUCGAGCAAUGAAAAAGGAUUUUCGGAAUAAUGGAGAUUAGUGAUGUACAAAAUAAGGCUCACAAGUAAAAUGUUCUUGAUUUGCUAAAAUGUAAAAAAAAAAGUAAAAUAAAAUAGCUAUUUCUGAUAUAGAUUUCAAAUAAAUUGAAAUUGAGGAAGUAUUUCUUUUGCGUUUAAAUAGGUAUGAUUUUACAAAAAAAAUAUAUAUAUGUUUAUCACAAAAUACCUGUCUUUUUAGUGUUCAAGAUGAUAUUAUUAUUUUUUUCUCAUUUUCUUUUAGUAGUAAUAGUGUUUAAGCAGAUAUAAAUAAAGUAAAUAUAGAAUGAAGAAAAGCUAUAUCUUAAAAUUUAAAUAAUUAAGAAUUUCCUUUUGUUAAUUAGUAUUUUUAAAAUAUAUUAUAAAUAAAAAUAUGACAAAUAUUUUGAGAUUACGAGAAUAAUUCAACUUUCAAAAUUUAUCAAUUUAAAUUUAUAUUAUAAAAUAUAUAUUAAAAACUCUAAUAUAUUUAGAGUUACAAGUAUAAUUAAUUAAACAUGCAGCUACUACAUGAUUGUCCUUUCAACUAAUUAAGCAUUCUUGGUCUCAUGCAUGCAAAGCAGGACAGCUAAGGUCAAAUGAGAAUGAACAUUUUUAAUUUACAGAAAUUAAUUGUUACAAUAUAUGUAUUACUACUAAUUAAAUGAAAUUUUAUCUUACAUUUUAUCGUGCAUAAAAUAAAUUUCGUAUAAGUUAUGUAUGACGAUAAUGAUAUAACUGUUGCUUAUUAUAUUUAGCGGUAAUAAUAAAUAUGAAUACUUAUAAUCAACAUUAUAUAUAAAUAUCGCUAGAGGUUUAGCAACUCUGUAAUAUGUAAUAACAUUAACUCAAUUACGUGACCAAUAUUAGUCGUGAUGGGAUGAUAGAAAAUUUCUCCAUUUUUCAAAGAUUUCAUGUUUGGUUGAGCCUUUAGGAAUGAAAAAAAUUGUUUAGAAACAUCACCUUCAAAAAUUAAGUUUUAUAGUAUACGAAUGAAUUUGAAUCUAAUCAAACCUGAUAGAGAUAUCAAAUAUUAAUUGAAAUCAAAUGAAAAGAAAAGAAGAAAAAAGAACUUUAUGUGGUUGCUUGUACUAAUUUUCUUUAGGAUAACAUAGAAUCUUUUUUGAAGUCCCAUUAAUGUCUGCCACAAUAUGUCCAAUUACCUAUUAUUAGUCUUGAAUAAAAGCACUUAACUUUUUUAUUUAGUAAAUUUGUUUUAUAUAUAGUAACUACUAACUUGUAGUACAAAAAAGAAUAGAAUUUUAAUGAAUUUUUUUGUACAAGUGACAUUAAUUCCAUUUUCAACCUUUACAUCAAGUGUGAAUCUUGAAAAGAGUUCUCUUAGAAGGAAAUCAAAGAAGAGAGAGGGCUAAGAGUCAAAAUGUCAAAUUUAUCAUUGAGAGAUGUGGUGGAAUGAAUAAAAUUUCUAUAUUUUAAAUAAGAAAUUUUGAGUUCAAUUCUUAAAAAAAUAAAAUUAAAUGAAUCAAAUGUGAUGACGAUCGUCUGAAUUUUAAUCGAACAAAUAUCGAAUGAUUAUAGAAGAAAUUCAAAGACAUAUAUAUUGGACUUUAUGUCAAUACUAGAAAGACUGUUUUCGAAGGACUCUUGGUUUAAGUAAAGUAAAAAAUAGGAGUAAUGAAAAAGAAAAAGCAAUUCUGAAGAAAACAUGACAACUAAUAGGAAAGCAAUAUCAAACAUACGAGCAAGGUAAACAAGAACAUCAACAUAUAUAAUAUUGCAAUCACCUAGACAUAGAUAAUAAACAACAAAUCAAAUAACGAAUGCAAGAAACUAAUUAAAUAUGAUAGCCACAAUGCCCUAGACUAUCACCAUGCCUAGCUAACUCGAUCCGUUGAAAAGUAAGACAAUGCUCAACUCUAACGUUUCACCCUUACGUGAUCUUCAUAUCUUCUAUCUAAAAUUAUAUUUUUGAUAAAUUAAAAUUAUAUUAUGUCAUAUCUAAUCACCUCUUCCGACAGAAGCAUGAAAAGCAAGAGAAAAGAAAAGAAGAAAUUAGCAUGCAAAAAAAGGAAAGGAAAAGAGAUAGAAAGGGGAUAUAUAGAAGGAAAAGAGAAAGACAAAGUGUCAUAUUCAUGAUGAAGAUAUUUUAGAAGACUUUUGCCUAAGAAUCUUUAAUUAAGCAUUUGUCACUACUCAAACAAACAAAGAUUUCGAAAAUAUACUAAUAUUACGUUUUGCCAAACUUUUUAAAUAAAAAAUAUUUCUUGUUAGAAGUAUUUGUUAAAGAAAUAUUUUUUUAAAAUAGUAAUUUGUGUUUAACUAAUUAUUUUGAAAAUAUUUUUGUUAAUAUUAAAACAGUAAUUUGUAUUUAACUAAAAUUUUAAAAUGUUUAAUGAAAAAAUAUUUUUCUAAGUAAAUAAAUUCCUUAAAAAAAAUUCUAAUAAAACAAAUAAAAUUUCACAUUUAUUUCCUUUAAUGAAAACUUUUUUCAACCAAACACACUCUAAUGCUAUUGAUUUUUUUAAAAAGGGAGUGCAUGUACAAAAUGUAAAAGAUUUAAAAGAGAAAUAAUAUAAAUAUGAAGGGAAUAAUUUAAGGUGAGGAAGUUCUUCUUAAUUAGGAAAAAAAAAGAAUAGAAUAUUUGCUUGUGUUUUUGUUUUUCCCUAGUGGAAUUGAAUCUUUUAUUAUUUAUUUUUGCUUUUCUUUUGUUUUAUUUAUUAUUUUAUUGCUUUCGAUAAAUUAAAAAAAGUAGGAAUAUGAUACUAGCAAUAUACUACUUGAAGUCUACAAUCCUAGAAAUCCAAAAUUUCAGGGAUCAAGAAUCACAAUUUGGGGCCACCUUUGGAUAAUUUUGUUAUUUUUUUAUUAAAAAAUUGUAACAAAAUAUAUAACAAACAUAAUAUUAGGGGGCCCUAUGAGAGACAAAUAAUAAUAAUAAUAAUAAUUAAUUAGUGGGAUAACUUAAAUAAGUGAAUUGUUACAGUAGCUUUAAGGUAAUGAGCAAAAAAUAGUAACAAAAAGAUCAAUAUAUAAUUGUAUUGCAUUUCUGAAUUAGAUCACAUAUACUAUAAAUAAUAACAUAUCCAAUAUAAUUUUACAAAAAAAAAAUUAACAUUUUAAAAUACACAAACAUUACUCCUAUUUUUAUGAAAUCCCUUAAUUAUUUAUUUAUUUAAAAAAAAAAAGAGAAAUCAAAAUGAAAGAAAAAUAACAAUACCAAUAAAGAUCAGAGUGAUUAAUAUUAAUUAUCUUUAAAAUCAACCUUUAUAUCUAUUAUGAUUUCAAGAUAUUUUCACAUAGAACAAUACUUCCCAACUGGGAUUUUUUUGUUUUGCCAUAAUUUUUUUCAGGUUCUUGAAAUUGUGUCAGCCGUCCGAUAUUGUUAUUGAAACUCGAUUAAUUUGAAUUCAUGCAUUGCAAGCAGUGGUAAAAAGUAGAGCUUAAAAUUUAAACUUGAAACCUCAAGGUUUUUGAACUCCCUAAAUCACUAAUCAAUAUCUAAUCUUACAUUUAAAAGAUUCAAAAUCAAUAUAUAGACAUAAAAAAUCUUUAAAUACAUUAUAUAUAUACAAUAUAAUUUUUGACGAGGGGGUUCGGAUGAAUCUCCUCAACUACCUCGAAGUCCGCCCCUGAUUACAAGAUCUAUUUUUAUUAAUGCUCAAACUCUAAACCACUGAUUAAUUGUGAAAAUAUCUUAACCAUAUCUCACCAUUGAUUUCUUUUGCCAUAUCAAACACACAUUUUCUUAUUCUUUAGUUUUUGAAUACAUAUAUUAAUAUGUUAGAGAACAUUGUGUUCAUUUCCAAUUGAACCUAGUAUAUAUAGAUUGUUUUUUGUUCCAAGAAACAAAAAAUCUAAAAUAAUACAUUAUAUGCGUUUUCAUCUAAAUACCAUUAUUCUUUUUACUCCUUUAGCUCCAAUGAUCUUUAAAAUCUUCAUUCUCAAAGAAAUUAAAAAGAAAAUGUGGAAAGAAUAUAAAUAAAAGUAAACCACUUUUUUGUUUUGUUCUUUUUUAUCGUGCUUGUUAAAAGGAACAAGAAAAUGAUUUGUAAUAUAAUCCCUCAGUCCAACAAUACUUGUCCACUAUUGAUUUUACACACUUCUUACGAAACUAUAAAUAGAAGGAUAAUUUUUUUAUAUCGCUCUUUGUAUAUAAAAAAUACAACCGGUCUUUCAUAAAGUAGACAAAUAUUGUUGGACAUCUUAGAAUAGUAGAAUGGACAACUAUUAUUGGACGGAAGAAGUAUUACUAUAAAAUGAAAAUAUCGUGAGAUAAUAGACGAUACGAUAAAUUGAUAAAUGAGAUAAUGUAAGAAGAAUCCAAAAAGGCGAAAACUUGUCUUAUCAUAGGGACAUUCCGACAAAGUGGGGCCCAAAGUCACGUGACUUAGAGCCACGUAAGCCGACAAAGAGCGCGGCUGACCGGGAGGCUGUGUGUGUUUAUGGGACCCACAAAUUUACCUGAGACAUCUUAGGACUUAGCACCCAUUCACACCAACAAAAACAUUUGUGCAAUGUUUUUAUGUUUACAAAAAAAUAAAUUAAAAAAAUCUAAUAAAUUUCUUAAUUAUAGUAAUAUUUUAAAGUGGAAAUUUUUAAAAUUUGUGAUCUUAAAUAUUACUCCCUCCGUUCCUAUUUAGUUGUCCAUAUUUCCUUUUUUAGUUGUCCCUAUUUAGUUGUCCAUUUUGACAAAUCAAGAAAGGACAACAAAUUUUUUCCUAUUAUACCCUUAUUUACACUUCUUGAAAAUUUCUAAAAGUGUAUGUUGUUUCCCUCCAAUUUAUUUCACUUGAAUUCAAAGAAGUGGUCGUAAUUUUGAAGUGAAAAAUUGUCAUAAGGGUAAAAUUAUAACUUCACUGUGCUAAUCAUUGUUGCCUUAAUCUGUGUGUCAUUUCUAAAGUGGACAACUAAAAAGGAACAGAGGGAGUAUGUCAUUUUGACACAGAGGUGAGUUAAUGAGGAUGGAUCAUAAGGAAAAAUUAUUCUGCUACUAUCUUUUAAAGUCUCGUCGCUUUGAUGAAUGAUCAGUUGAGUUUUAGUAGAAUUCUGAUGAUAUGAAGCUAGACUAUUGAGUCAUUAUGUUUUUUUUUUUCAAAAGAAUUACGGUUCAUGACCUCCUAAUUGUCAUUGUUCAAUUACUUCCUUUUCAUGAUCCGAUGUGUAUACUUACUACAUUUACUUCUAAAAUUCUAAAUAGGAAUUGUAACCUCAUGAUCGUUCACAUUUUGCAUGAAUUAUCGUCUUCACGACUUUUUUUCUAGCUAGGCUGACAAAACUUCUAGAGAAGGUUGAAUGUACACUAUACUUAAAGACGAAUUUUACAUCGAAAUAGGUGAAAAUGAAGAUUUAGAGGUGUUGUGGGUGGUAGUGGAGGGGUGAAGGGUGUGGGGGGAGGGGGGGGGGGAUGUUGAAUGGAUUGGAAAGAGACAAUAAAUUUGUAUUUUAAAAAAAAUUGAUAUUAUUAAAAAUAAUUUGUAAUGAAAAUCAUUUUGUUCUCCUUUAUGGUUAGUACUAACUUAGUGGCAAUCGCAGAGAUACAAUCAGAAUUUGUUAUUAAAUACAUAAUUCCUCUUAGUUAUUGGGUUAAUUAAAUAUUUAUAUAUAUUAAGUAAUUUUUUAAUUUAAAUAUAAAAUAUGAUCUAAGCAAAAGAUACUAAAUUUAUCUAAAUCCUAAGUAAUACUUUACCUCUGUUGCUAAGCAAAAGUAAUAACACUCUUCAACAAUAAGUAUGGGUAGAUAUAACAUUGCGACAUUAGAUUCACAUGAAUUCAAUAUGUUUUAUAUAAAUCAUAGAACUAAUAAAUAUGUCAAAACCUAUAAUUUUUAAAAAUAUAAAAAAAUUAAUAUUAUAAAUUGUAAGUAUUAAACUCAUAAAAUUUAAUUUUGAUCUAGAACGAUAUGUAAGUUAGAAAUGAAAAUUGAUAUACACGCUAUCAUAUUUUCAAAAAUAGCAGCCAAACACCAAAAGCUGGUUAUUUUAUUAAAGGAAUAUAUAACAAUAUUCUCUUUCAACAUCAACUUCACUUUAACAUAAAAACUUUAUUAUAUACGAUUCCAUUUUGUCUUGCAAAUUAGUAGAAAAAUAGAUAUCUAUUUUAGUUACGUCUAUUAACAGAAAUUAAAGUGUAAUUUUAAUUCGUUAAGGUCACCACUAGAUUACUUGUGCAAAAAUAUAGCCGUCCACAUAAUCAAACUGUCUAAUGUUAUUUUAAAUUUAGCUUAUGUAUCAUUUUAAUGAACGGAUAACUCAAUUCUUAGAACAUAUUAAAACCUCAAGUGGUAAAGAGCCGACAUCAAGGUGCUAAACUAGCUUCACGUAGACGUACUACAAUAAAAAUAAUUUUUAGCGGUAAAAAAAAUACACAUUAACAAAGGGUAAUAAAAUUUUUACUGACAUUAGUUAAUUGUCAUUGGAUCCAAUGUCAGUAUAGGCUCUAGAAACAUUUAUAAAAAGUAAUAAUUGUCUAAAAAAUACAUAUUAUUACCGUUAAAAAUCAUUUUUGAUAUAGUGAUGUGAGCUCUUAGGAAUCGAAAGAUCAGCGUAAUCUUUUAUCUCUAAAAUAUUUAUUAAGCGAUGACUCUUAUAGAAUCACUAAGAUCGAUUUUCAUCUUGGCUCGAUGGGUGAGUCUUGCAGUCAAGCUCAUUGUUAAAGCUAAAAAAUAAUUAACAAUGCAUCUAGUUUAGAAAAAAAAAUGUUUGAUUUAACUUUAUUUGUUUUAUCGUGCACUUUUUUAUGGUUCUUUUUUAACCAAUAAAAAUAAAAGAUUAAUUUUUUUUCUUUAUUUUUUUAUUGUAAAAAAAAAGUGUAUUUGACAAAUACAAAGGGACCCAAAUGGAAGGAGGAAGAUAUUCCUCAUAAUUCGAGAGCUGAAAUUUGAGAUACGAACAAUCAUUCUGUCUCCACGCCUUCUUUCUUUUCUUUGUAUUUUCAGUAUUUUUUUAAAAAUAAAUUUUUGUAUUAAUAAUUAAUAUAUAUUAUUUAUUUAUGCAUCUUUUCUUUUAGCAUUCACCAACUUUUGUUGAACAGGAUUUAGUGUACGCAUAUCUUAUUCAUAUUUUAAGAGUUAAAGAGGUUGUUUUCGAUAGAUUCUUGUCUCGAGAAAAAAUAUUGAGAAAAAAGUAGUGGUAAGAGAAAAAGGUCAUGAUAAAAUAUUAUAUAAAAUAUGUUAAAGUAUUCUGAAAACAAACAAAAGCAAUAACUGCAACAAAUAGUAUGAUAAUCGAAUUACGUACCAUAUAUAGAAAUAACAAAUAGUAUUAGUAAUCGAAGGACCAAAAGUUUAGAAGGAUAAGUGAGACACUUUACUAUCUACUAACCUUCAACCCUAAUUUGUGUCCUCCACACCUCUUGUCUAAGGAAAUUUCCUAGGUAAGCUGAAAUUGUGUCAUGUCCUAUCUAAUCAUCUUUAAUACUUCUACGGCUUAUUUCUAGCUCUCGUGAAACCAUCCAUAGCCAACCUUUAAUACCUUCCACACAAGGACAUGUGUAUCUCAUCUUCACAUUUUAAUUUUCUAAUAUAGAUAUACAUGAUCGAUAUGGUUGUGAGCGGAAAACAAUAAAUUCAGUUGAAUCUGCUAGGAUAUUCAUCAUAAAAUUUCAAACGUUUUCUCUAAACAAUGGAGUACUAAAGUUUUGAUUUUUGCCAAUUAACCUCUAAAUUUAGACAGCUAAAUCCAAAAAUCAUUAAAAAAUUAUAUCAACAUGCUAAACAUUAAUCAUGCUACAAUAGUUAAACCUCAUGAAAUUUAAUCUAAAGAAAAUGUUGAUUCAAAAACCAAAUCAAUAUUAACAAUAACAAAAUGAUAAAAGCCAAUGACAGAAAUAUAGAGAACAAAUAUAUUUAUGUUACGUUCGAAAUUCAUUGUCACAAAAGAGUAAUGGUACGAUAGUAUCGACCUGCAUUGAUUUAAAAUCUUGAAUCUUGUCUCUGAUUACGAAUAACAAACAAGUAAAUUGCAAAAGUGACAUAAUAACACCUGGGCUUUGGGCCUUCAAUUUAAUUCCACUUGGGCCUUCAAAAAAUUAUGACCUGGGCUUGGUCUUGGGCUUUUUUUCAAAACAAUGAUCUGCUGCCAACUGAUGGGCUAUAGAACCUUGUGUUAUAUUUCUUUUGAGGCUUACCACAAAUGCAUUGGCAUUCAUAUCCCAUUAUGUUACCAAAACAAGAAAACAAUCCACUCGAACCACGUGCAUGCCUCCUCCCGUGACGACCGGUCGAAUGGUAGCUGCUCGAGGCAUGUCCCCGGUCGUACACUGGUGGUACCUCCGUCCUCCACCUCUCGAGUUUGGACCUGAGCCCCUCAACGCUCUCGUCCAAACUCCAACCAUCCAACACCGAGCUCUUUUGAUCAUCCAACGGGUAUUUUUUUUCGGCCACGGCCGCCGCGACCUCGGAUGCUGAAGGCCCAAUUUCUGAGUCAGUCCAAUGAUGAGCAUUUCCCUUAAUUGGGCCUCCAAAUACAAAUUUUCCAUUGUGUCCUACCCCUUUUGGGCCUCCAAACUCAUAUCCAUUAUAAUUUUGAAUGGGCUUUCCUAUAACUGUUAUGGGCUCUUUGGGCUCAUCAACUUUGGGCUUUGUGAGAGAUUUUUCAUCAACUUUUUUUUCAUUUGUGGGCUUUUCUUUGUUCUCAAGCUCUAAAGCUAUAAGUUUGAGUUUGGGCUUAUCUUCUUUAGGCCCAGUAUUAUAAAGUGAUGACUCUUUACUCACAAUUGAAUCACUUAAAACUGAGCCCGUUUUGCCCUUUUUACCUUUGGGUUUUUCUUCUUUAGGUCCACUUACCAUAGAACUUGCUUUGCCUUUCUUUUUUACCAACAUUUGUGGUGGAGGCUCCAAAGAAAUACUAAGAAUUGAGCUUUCUUUGUCAUAAUUAUGUGCUUUAUUCUUCUUUUUUGAAGGUUUUGCAACUAUUGAACCACUAGACUUUGGUACAUCAUCGUCGAAUUUGACACGUUCGCUACGUUCACUCUUUGUACGUAACAAUAUUGGUUUUAUAGUAGUCACGUUGUUAUUAUUGGUGUUGGUGUUGUUGUUGUAGUUGUUGGUAGUGGUGGUGGUGGUGAUGGUUUUUUCGUUGUUUGUUUUCUGGUUGUGGUGGUGAUGAGGGAGUUGUUCUUCUUCCAUCAAAUCACGAUAUCCAACAGCUGACUUGUUUAAUUCAGUGUACAAUGGCAUACUUCUCAUGGUACUAUCUAGUAAUGCAACACCAAUGUUCAAUAUCCCUUGAGGUCUCCCGGAUGGACGACGUACCUAAUACCAAAAAAAAAUAAUACAUAAAUUUUCAUCGAAGAAAAUAUUCAGAAUCAUUAAUUAGGUUAUUUAUAAUUAAAUCCAUCUCAAUAUUCAUGACCAAUUAAUCCAUAUCAUUGAAAAUUCAAUUAGAAAACAUAGUUCUAAGCAAAUGUACUAUGAAAAUUAUAUAUUGGUCAAAACAAUAAUAAUCUUGAAAACCAAAUUUUGAAUAUAUAUAUACAUAUAUAUAUUAUAUGAUGGAAGAAUCAAGAAUGGAGCAAAAAUUUACAUGCAUGCAUGCAACUUUACGUGAACAUGCUAAACAAAUUUCCUAUUUAUAGAAAUAUUGGAAGAAUGAAAUUAAGAAUAUAAUGUGGUUGUUACGUUAGGAAAAAAAAUAUGUUGAACAAUCAAACAUAAAAAAAUUGAAAAAUAUUUUCGAAAUUAAACCUGAAGUGCAACAAAACGCAUGCCAAGAUUAUGAGGAUGAUGAUUAUGGUGUGUCCUAGACGGAGGAGGGAUAAGGUUUCCGACGAGGACGCGAACAGACCCCACAAGAGAAUCCUUAAACCAAUGGCCACAGUGAAUUUCUAUUUGUACGGCUGAGGUAUCUUGCCGGAGAAACUCCUCAUCCACACGAAAAACAAAUUUAUCGUUCCACGUUGGGUUGUUACCUCCUUCUAUGUCAACCGCGGUGGUUAGCUUCCGUGUAGGGUGGACCCACACGGUCGCGUAAGUUUUCAUUUUCUUGGACAUAGGUUCCAAAUCUUGAGCGGAGAUGAUGUUAAUUUCCAAGAGUUGGAACGGUUUCAAGACCCCCAUUUUGAAAAUUUUGGUAAAUUCGUAACGUUUAAUAAAAAAUAUUAUUAGUCGCGAAUUUAAUCUUGAUGGUGAAAUGAGAAGGCUUCGUUCGUCGUUCCCUGAAAGGAACGACCGAGAAAUGAAGAGAGAAGGACGAGGGGUAGGGGGAGGGGGUGGUGAUUUUCUCGAGGAGAGAACAUUAAGGCAUUGUUACAAAGGAAGAAAAUGUGUUUUUGAAAUAAUGUUUGUGUUUUUUUUUUGGCCGUAAGGUUCUUCAACCCUUUUUAUUGUAAAAAAAAACAAGUUUUUCAAUAUCUGACCAAGUGUAUUUAAUAUUCAAUUAAUUAAAACGUGUGUCCGUUUAUUUGUGAAAAUUUCUCAAAUAUUACGUAUUUACUACUUGCUAAAUUAUAUGUAAUCUGAAAAUAACACUUCUUAUUAUUUGAAGUAUAGAGAAAAAACAAAUUGCGAAUUAAUAAUUAAUUGUAAUUACAUUAUAAUUGUCUUAUAAUUUAGUGAUAUCGACAAGAGUAUUUCUUCAUGCAACAAUGUCAAUUCUCACUAUCUUCCCCCCCUCCACACACCUUCUUUGAUUACCAUAUUAUUUUUUGCUGAUAUUCUUCGUAUAACUUUUUAUUAUUGUAUUUUUCUUUAUUUACACACUUAAUUUCUUAUAUGCGUUACUUAGAUCUGCCAUCGAAAACAACAUUACUAUCUGUCACAAACAGGGGCGGACCUACAGUGGUUCAAGUGGGUUCAUAUGAACCCACUUCGUUGAAAAAUAACACUGUAUAUAUAUGUAUAUUUAAUCAGUUUUUAAAAUUUUAUAUGUAUAUAUUAAAUUUUGAACCCACUAACACAAGUUGAAGCUUAGCCGAGUGGCAGAGGGGGUUCAAUUUUCCCAGCCAACCCGGGAUCGAAUCCCUAUAGCCACAUUUCAGUUUUAAUUCGUUUUUUUUAUAUAUAAAACAUUCACACACAAUUUUGUCCUAAGUAACUUUUGUCCUUUUAGUUACUUAGGAACUAUAAAAAGUAGAACAACUUUUUACUUUUACAUUUAAAGUCCAAUAGUCAACAACUUUUGUCCUUUUUGUUUUUAGUUUUUUUUUUUUAUAAAAAAAAAAACUCAACUAAAAAGGCACUAAUCCCUAUUAUUUUCAAUUCUAAAAAUCUUUUUAUCUUCUUCUUUGUUGAAAUCUUCUUGAACCUCUCUUACUUUUCCCCCCAAAAUUUUGAGCAUAUUUUUUUGUUGAAGGAAAAAAACUCUCCCCAUCUCUCAACUUGAACCUCUCUUAUUUAUUUUUUAUAUCUUGAACCCACUUCGUGAAAAUCCUGGGUCCGCCACUGGUCACAAAGCAUAAAAUCGUGUAUUUUCUCACUAAUAAAAAUACAGUGAUAUUUAUCGUUUCUCGAAUAUUCCUAAUAACUUGUCUCGGAUAGCUUGUGAGGUUGACUCGUUGUAAAAGAGUUCACAAGCAUCAUGUUGAAACUAUAAAUAUUGUAUAUUUAUUGUAUUUUAAUUAAUAUAACUUAUACUAAAGUUAGAUGCAUUAGCCUUGGUAUUUCAUAAACAUAUUCUUUGCUUAGAUAAUAAUAUAUAUUGUGCUGUAAUUUUUUUUAUUUCUUUUUCACAUUUUAGAUAAGAAUAUUUUUUUAUUAGAUAUUUUUUUAUGUAUUUAAAAAUAGCUAAUUAUUGAAUGAUAUUGAAUUAACAACUAAAACUUGAUUAACGAUCCAAAAGUAUCCAUUUGUCAAUUUCUCCUCCUCAAAUAUCUCCAUUUUUUCCAAAUUGGGUCCAUAACUAUCAUUUUCUUAAUACAUUGAAAAUGCCAUUUUUUAAAAUUUUAUUUUCACUUUAACCAUUUAAUUACAUUUUUUUUUAAAAAAAAAAGAAAGAAGAAGAAGUCAAAGUACAGAUAUGGCAGCCACAACUCCACGUGAACACUUUAAUUAUAAAGCUUUAUUUAUUAAAAUUUCAAUUCUUACUCCUUCGUCCCCAUUUUAAUUCAUUUCACGUCUAUUAAAAAAAUAUAAUAAAAAAAAAUAUAAUUUAUUAAAUUAUCUCUAUUUAUCAGAUGUUUUCGAGAUUUGAGCUCUAGCAAAAAAAUAUUUUUUCAAAAUUAAAAACAACUCUUAUUUUGAGGAGUACUAAUUUUUUCUAAAAUGAUAUUUUAGAAUGGAAAAAUUCUUUUGAUCAGAAUAAUAUUUGACCUAUGUUAUUUUAUUUUUUAAAACAUUUUUAGAAUAAUUUAUUCUCUUUAUUUCUUGGGAAGCAACACUUAUAUUAGAACAAGUAGAAUAUUUUUUUAAUUAGAAUUUUCACAAAUUAUUUUCAGUCAAGCUUUGGGAUUGAGAAUUACAAAGUCCAAAAAAGAUACUUUUAACUUAUAAAGUAUUUUGUUUCACAAUAAAUUAGAGAUUUCAAGUUCGAGCUUGAAAUACAUAGAACAUUUUAUUAGAAACGUCAACUCAAAAUAGGUCCUACAAUACAUAAUCAUAAAUUUAAUUGAGACUUCGAACCCCGAGCGGAAAAAAAAGAACUUGGAUAAUACUCCUACUUUUCAUCACUCAAAAUUUACGAAAGUUUCCUCCUUUCAUGUUCCAACACUCCACAACUUGAGUUUUUUCUUCUUGAAACUCUUCACAUGUCCAUUUUUUCCUCAAUAAAAUCCCAUAGUCUUCACAGAAAAUCAUUUAGAAGAGCUUAAUUUGAUGGGAAUUUAAAAGGGUUAUCUUGAAAUACUUUAAUUUCUUAUAAACUUGAAAAACUGUAUAAGCUCAAAGGUGACAUUUUUAUCUUGUCAUAAGCAAGAAAGUUCAAAAUGUUGCCUAAAGAACCAUCAUUUUGUAUAUAUAAUACAGAGGAUGGGGUUGAUGAAUUAAAGGAAAAUCAAGAUUUGGUUAGGUCUGUGACAAUAGGGGAUAUUAUAUCAGAUAUAGGUAGUAGUGAUUUCAGUUUUGGGAAAAAGGGAAUGGGGUUGAUUGAGGAAGAUGAGAAUGAAGAUGGGGGAAAAAGGGUUUUUUAUGAGGUUAAUGAGCUAGGAUUUGAAGAGAGUGAACCUGUAAUUAGUUCAAAGUACCUUGGUGGGGUUGAGUCUGAACCUUUAGAUUUUGAUGGAAAUGGAGAUGUUGAGGAAUAUUAUAAAAGGGUUCUUAAAGAAGAUCCAUCUAACCCUUUGUUUUUGAGGAAUUAUGCUCAACUUUUGCAGGUCAGUCUUUGUGUCCUGUUCCUUUCAGAAAGCAUUUUUCUCUUUCUAUUUCACAUUACUUUAUUGUGGUUACUGCUCAUAUUCCCUUUUUCAAUUGCUUAGAAAUGCUUUCGGAAACAACCUCUUUAUCUCUGUGAGGUAGGGGAAAGGUUGGUGUACUCUAUAUCCUCCCCAGACCCCGUUUGUGUGAUUACAAUGGGUAUGCUGUUGUUGUCGUUGUGUUUUUUUAGUAUUUGAUGACAUGAGUUGAGCUUAAACUAGAGAAACAUGGUCAGUGAGGAUUCAUAUAGCAGACCAUAACUUGUUUGGGAUUGAGGUCAUAGUUGUUGUAUACAUGUUUGAUCCUCAUUGUAAGUCCUUGAAAGAUUGUAGGAUUGCGAAAGUUAGUUUCUUGUGAGUUCUAUAACUGCAAAGUUGGAAUUCUAAACAUGGUCAGUGAGGAUUCAUAUAGGCGACCAUAAUUUGUUCGGGAUUGAGAUCGUAGUUGCUGUUGUAUACAUGUUUGAUUCUCAUUGUAAGUCCUUAGGAGAUUCUAGGAUUGUGAAAAGUAAAUUUCUUGUGAGUUAUAUAGCUGCAAAGUUAAGAUUCUAAACAUGGUCAGUGAGGAUUCAUAUAGGCGACCAUAAUUUGUUCGGGAUUGAGAUCGUAGUUGCUGUUGUAUACAUGUUUGAUUCUCAUUGUAAGUCCUUAGGAGAUUCUAGGAUUGUGAAGAGUAAAUUUCUUGUGAGUUAUAUAGCUGCAAAGUUGGAAUUCUAAACAUGGUCAGUGAGGAUUCAUAUAGCGGACCGUAACUGAUUGGUAUAUAGGUCAUAGUUGUUGUUGCUGUUGUAUACUUGUUUGAUUCUCUUUGCAAGUCCUUUACAGAUUCUAGGAUUGCGGCAAGUAAGUUUCUUGUGAGUUCUAUAGCUGCAAAGUUGGAAUUAUAAUUGUGGAACUAAAGUCGCCUCUGUGAAUUUGAUCUCAUCUUUGGCUUCUUGCUCUUGCUGUUAAGUUGCCCCUUGAUAAAAUAAACUAGUUGGAUAAGUAUAUCAGGAUAGUAAUAGUGGUUUGAAUAACUUUCAACAAAUUAGAAUCUAAUUUGGAACCUUUUAUAAUCAGUUCACUCAUUUUAAAUAUCUUCUACUAAGUAUGGAUUAGCAGUUGCAUAACCAAGUCACAAAAAGGGAAGUAAGUGAGAAGACUCUUCUUUCAUGAUGUUCUAGCAAUGCCAAUGUACGUCAACAAUAAAUUUACUAGUGGUUUGAAAUGUAAAAUCAUACAAUAGUAACUGAUUCAAAUGCUAUUCUGUUCUUCCUAAUAGAUACUUCGGAAAUCUGGUCAUUAUAAAUUUUCUGAUUCUUUGGCUGGAAAAGCACACAAUAUUACAUGCUUUAGAUGCUAUGUGGUUUUAGAUAUUUCUCCAUCUUUAUUUUUAUUUUCUUCAGAUCUAGUCCAAUCUUGAUUCUGUUUUUGUGGCGACAACUUUUUCUUCAUGUAACCCACUGUAUUCUGGUCUAUAGUCUAAGGGAGAUCUUUGUGGAGCUGAACACUAUUACUUUCAAGCUACACUAGCUGAUCCAAAAGAUGGAGAUACCUUGUCACAGUAUGCUAAAUUAGUAUGGGAGCUGCACCAAGAUAAAGAUAGAGCAUCAGAUUACUUUGAACGUGCAGUUCGUGCUGCUCCUGAGAACAGGUUAUACUUGACUUGCACCUUUCAUCGAAAUGAGAGAAUGAGUAAUUGGUUCAAUUAGAUAUUGAUUUACAAAACCUGGGCAUGUGAAGAAACUAUUAGUCUCCUCUCCUCAUCUUCUCCUUUUUAGUAGUAUUUGUGUAGUAUCUUAGUCUUAAAUUUUUACUACUGCAGCUUCUUUGCUUUGUUCAUCUUGCUAUUUUGUUGUUAUUUUUUCUUACAAUCGUGCUUUGAUUAAAAUUCUUUUGAGCUGAGGGUCUACGGAAACAGCCUCUCUAUCCCACCAAGGUGGGGGUAAGGUUUGGGUACAUCUUACCCUGCCCAAACCCCACUUGUAGAAUUACACCGGAUAUGUUGUUUUUUUGGUAAUAACAUGUGAAACCGGAUAUGAUGUUGUUGUUGAAAUCUAUUAUUGUUUCCAGUCAUGUUCUUGGAGCAUAUGCUAGUUUCCUCUGGGACAUCAAUGACGAUGAAAGUGAGGAUGAAAUGAACACACAGAGUGAUAAGACUAAGGUUUCUUCCAUUCGUUCUGCCUCAACGAGUAUAUAUGUGUGAACUCUGUUUGACUUAAAGUUUCUUCUGGAUGUGUCAGAUUGAGGAAAGUGGGGAAGCUACUGUAUCCCGGAACUUAGAUUACGAAGAAGCUAACAGACCUGUUAGUCCUCCCUUACAUCUUGCAGCAGGAUUAGGAAUUGGGGUUAAUCUAGUUGGUGGUGGCUCUCCUGUUGAUUAUACUGCAGCUGUAUCUGAUAUGGACAGAAAUGCCGAGGAGGAGUACAUGAGAAUGAUCAAAGAAAAUCCUCAUAACCCCGUGCUUUUAAGAAACUAUGCUCAGUUUCUUAGUCAGGUGAAUGUUUCAUAUCUUCUGCACUAAAUGUUCUUUAUUAACAUGUAUAUCAUCCAUCAUAUGCUUACAACAAUGCCCAUUUGAUAUCUAUAUAUUAUCUUGAUUUAGAAAUGUGUGAUUGUCCGAAGCUGCAACCAUCGAUACAGUCGUUCUCCUCAAGUGUCUGAGAUGUCUCAAGCUCCCUCCCUAAUAUGCUUUUUAAGAUUUCAACCCUUUCUUUAAAUUGUACAAAAGAACUGCCGGUCAUCCUAAUUCAGUAGGAUUGGGAUGGAGAAAUAUAAAUGCAUGCUCAAAUAUGAAAUUUUCUUGAACAUUAUGUCAUUCCAUUCACAAGAUCUUUACAAUAGCUACGACAGUUUAUCGUUUACUUAUCAGAACGCAACCAAAAACAAGAAAAGCUAUCUCCGUUCAUUGGUGCUUACAUAUAAUAAUAUCAACUGGUCUUGCUACUUCUGACAUUUCUCAUGUUUGCUGUUGGACUGACAGUCUAAGGGAGACCUACUAGGUGCUGAAGAAUAUUACUCACGCGCAAUACUAGCGGAUCCUACUGAUGGAGAAACUAUUUCACAGUAUGCCAUGUUGAUAUGGCAACUUCAUCGGGAUAAAGAUAAAGCCUCAACCUACUUUAAGAGGGCAGUUCAAGCUUCUCCAGAAGACGGGUAAUAUUGAAUUGAAGCCCCUCAUUUUUUUAUUCGCAACAUUUAGAAUUAAAAGUAAUAGCGGUAACUUAAUAACCUAAGCACAUUUCCUACUUCGUCAGUUACUAAGACGGUUUAACAGAUUUAUGUGAUGUGUAAAGGAAAUCUGCUACUAUUUGAUAGCAUUGAAAAGGUUAAUGAGAAAAGAUACAAAUAUAAGGUUGUUGGUAACUUGGUAUUAUGCGAAUGUAUUGGUGGGAAAAUAUUAAAAUUUUUGGUGAUCUUUGGUAUGAUGUCAAAUCAUUUGUGCGUUGCGUUUAAAUUAGAAAUUGUGUGGUUGCUACUUGCACAUCUAGUUCAUUGUUCUCAUUGUUUGGGACUCUGAGUUACUAGCUUGCUUUUUUGCUUUUCAGCGACGUGCUUGCUGCAUAUGCUAGAUUUCUCUGGCAAACGGAGGAAGAUGAAGACGGAGAAGAAGAUGAAACAUUAGGUGAUCACAACGGUGCACCACCUUUGCAAGGAGUCAUGGCUGCAAAUGCCUAAAUCCUGAUGUCAAAUGAAUUCACAAUCCAGCUUCCAAUUCUUAAUUUAAUUUUAGUUUCUCAAGCUUUUCGCGUUAUCUAAAGACUUGGAGCUUUCUCUUGUUGUGGAGGAUCAAGCAUUGUGGGAAAUUUUUUAAAUGGUAAAUGUUGUUUAGUGAGCAAUAAAAUGUGAACACUAAUGUUAAAUUGACCUUGUACAAUGUUCUUUAUGGGAAUAAUAUGAAGAAGUUGAUUAAAAAUUUAAAUGGAGACUUCACAUUGUAAUAAUAUAUUGUUAGUUCCUCUACUUUAGUUUACAGAUCUACGACCUUCGUAAAUUACAACAUAAUUCCUCUAUGGUUUGACAUGCUGUUUUAUGUCUUAAUAAUGAGUCUCAAUGGGGCUAGACAAAGGCAUGAUCUAAUGAUCAAUGAAGUUGAAUCGAGAAACAUGAUUUAUCUAGUUAGAAUAUUAGAAGAUGCAUAAAAGUUAUUAUGAACUGGACACUUCGCAAAUUGUUUUUUCUACUUAGACAUUUUUAAGAGACUUGUUAUCCACAGGAUACCUGAGAAGUCAUUUUUAAGAGACUUGUUAUCCACAGGAUACCUGCUAUCUCCCACAAGCACAAGUAUCGUAUAAUUCUGUCCACCAAGGACUUACAAUGCUUCUCAAGGGCCAAUGCAAAUGAUAUCUUUGAACACUAUAAUAAAUCUGUUUCCCAAAGUGCUCCAACAGUAGCACAUGUACUCAUUUCCUUGCAAAGAUAAGUUGAAGAAAAUUUCAAACCACACCACACUAGCAUAAAGACAGACCCGCACCGCCUCGCCCCAUUGACAUUCCCUAUUUAUAGUUUGUGCCAAUACUGGAGAGGUUCAUGCUGGAGAGAGCAUGUAUGCAACAAUCAGUUAAAAAGGAAAAGAUCAAAUGAGAAACUUGCGCAAAAUAUCGACUAGCAGACCAAAACUGCAUUAAUAAUCCUUUUCAGUAAAAGCCUAUUCAUGUACGGAAAAAGCAACACUUGCUAUUUCUGCCAAAAAAUUAUAUGAAUUUGGGAUGCUUUCUUCCACAAAUCUAAAUUUUGAUGCUUCUCAAAGUAUACUAAUGUUUGGAGAACUAUGAAGACGAAAAAGCUGUUGGCAACAUGGCUUGUACUGAAGGGGUAUUGUCUGUCCUUCAUGAAUUCAACUUCAGCUUAUUCCCAUGAGUACUGCUCAUUUCUCAAGCUUUGCUGAUUGCUAGGGUAAGCUCUUUCUUGCCGAGGAGCUUGUCUAUAGUAACCAUUUCCCCUUGAUCUGCCAUAGUCACGGUCACCUCCGUCUUGACCACCUCUCCCAAAACCACGGCCACCAUAGCGCCCCCUUCCGUCCAUGGAGUAGCUAACUCUGCCUCUACCCCUUCCUCCUGUGUCCACAUUUUAAAGACAAACAAAAUGAAACUUAAUAUUUUUAGGAUGCAGAGAAAAAAAUAAUAAUUUCAGGACUUCAAAAAUUAAGUUAAGAAAUGUAUGAAGCAGUAAGCUUUCAGACAAGGAACAGGCUUAGCAAACUGAUACCUAUACACAGUUCUAUUUUGGCUAUUACAAGCACACAGAAAUCAAAUAAUAAGCCUUAUUUACCUGAAGUAUUAAAGAAGGCCACUUGUUAUUUACUACUAAAUUCCAAUGAUACCAGCAUAAUGAUUUGUUUUGAGACUAAUACCAUGGUCAAGAUGUGGGAGCCAAAUAUUUACAUCAGUUGCAGCCUCACAAGAAUGCAAGACAACUGGUGUAAUUAUAGUGCCCACUGAUUAUUCUCUACUUCCUGCUUUUCAUUAUUCAUCUUGAAAAUAAGUAUUGCAAGUAGAUCCAACAAAGUACUCCCUCUGUCCCAAUUUGUAUUGACUUACUUAUCUUUAUAGUCAGUUUCAAAAAGAAUAAACACAUUUUUAUAUUUAGUAAAACAAUUUGGUUUUUAGUCACACAAAUAUAUAACUUAUUUUAAACCACGAGUUUGAAGAGUCUUUUUUUCUUAAACUUCAAGACAAGUCAAACUAACUCACAUAAAUUGGAACGGAGGGAGUAGAUUAGUUCACUGUUCAUUUUAUACUGAACUUUUUUUUAUGAUAACACAGCUCUCUCCAGAGUUAAAACUUUCCUCCGAGAAUUUUUUUUUUUAUGAGGACGGGUUGGUUGAUCCACUUAUCUUUUGCAUCCCUUAUCUUCCACCAAGUAGGAAUCUCAAGUCAAUGACAUAACACUUGACAAAACAAAAGUAGAAAAGGUGUCCUGCCUGCCUUCGUGUCAUGUCAUUGACCUUGAUUCCUACUUGGUGCAAGAUAAGAGAUGUAAAUUGCUAAAGAUGUGCCUAGUGAUCACCUAGUAGAAAAAUAUAAUGCUUAGGAGAUCUUAGAAAGAAACAAGAAAGAAUUUAGCUUGAAGAUGUGCUUGUUUCUGUGAAUGAGAAAUGCAAUAGCUUAUUUAUUGACCUACAAUUGAGAAGAUAAAACCACUUACUUCCUCGAAUUAAGUUGUUUCUGUUCGGUCUCCUCCCUUCAAUGUACAACUGGUGUCCACCAAUCUGAACAGUAGAUGCCUGCAACAAAGAUUACAUAGAUUUCAGUACCUACUCUGAAUGUAAAUGCAGUAAUUAGUCUUAGCUGAAGGUAUCACUAACAAUUCAAUGAAGGCGAGAUAAAUAGAUCGAAAAAGAACAUAUUCACAACUCCCACAUUACUUUACAUGGAAUACUUCGAAUUUGUGCCAGUUUAUUACUUCAUUUGACCGCAUACAUAAAAUAUAGCAUCAUUCUCAAUUACUCAAAUAACAAACCUCAAUUGCAUUGAAACUUUAACACAAAAAGUAUAAUUAAAGAUGGCUCAAAAUUUUGAAAUGUCAGUUCAAACCUCAAUUGCAUUCUGAACCCCAGUUACAUCUUCAAAUUCGACAAAUGCAUAGCAUACAUCAAUGUCCUGCAUCACAUCAAAUUCCAGAUGAACUUAUUAUUGACCUAAUCUAGAUUCAAGAGUAUAGGGCAAAAGAAAGAUGAUAUAACAAACCUUUCGCGUUCUAAUGGCAACAGCAUCAGGCUUUAAUUUACCAAACUUUUUGAAUUCCUCCUCAAUUUCAUAAGCAGCCAUUGUGGUAGGCACAUUUUUGACAUAUACAGACUUAACUUCAACUGCAAAAAGUUCAAAAAGGAAAAUCAUGAAAGCAUAUCACUCAAAUGAGGUCCCUUUAAAAAUAAUACACAUCCCUGAGAAGACAGGAUGAGUACAUUAUGCCAAAGUACAAGAAACUUACCUUCAUCUUCAACAGCUGAAGCCUCAUCUGUUGCCUCAGUAUACCUCUCAAUAGUAUUAGUCGAAUGAACUGAUGGCAGAGCAGGAGGCUCUGGCACAUGUUGCCACUCUGAAGGAGGAGGUGUAAGUUUGUUGAGAGAAGACUGGGCCAGUCCUCCUUGUGCAGAAUUCCCUUUAGUAACUUGUAGCUUCCAAAUUAGAAUCAACCAAAUAAAAUUAGUUGAUCACAAAAGCGUACUCAAGACAAUAUGAGAAUGUAACGAUAAGGAGAAGGUAAAGGCAAAGGUCAUGGCAUACAAUAGAAGCAUAAGUAUGCUUUUGGGGUUCUGCAACAGGUUCCUCAACAGGGCAGGAUAAAUGGUCUUGUACUGCAUUAAUUGUACUCUGAAGUGGGCCGUUUGAUUGCACCGCAAAAUUAUCUUCAAGGAUAUUCUCGGCUUCGGGGACAUGCUGAAGCCGUUCCUCCGGAAAACUAUAGUUAUUGACAGGUCCGUUAUCUUCAAUUUUAGGAGCAUCAGCGAACUCCCUUGCUUGGAUUUCUCCACCAAACAUGUAGUUGGGCACUGCAGAAACCAUCAUUAAUUCUUUACAUAUGCACAUUCUCUUGUCUCAUAAUAUUGCAGCAUUAGCAUGCAGAAUUACAGAGAAAAUGUAUCCCAAGUUUUCUUUCAGAAGAAUUGACAUUCAAGUACAUAAUUUCCUCUCACCAAUUUAUAGCACAUCACUUAAACUUCUUCUCACCAGAAAAAAAAAGUAUGAACAAAGGGAAAAUAGUGAGCUUCAGCAGUUGAAGCUACUAGAAAUAUUCUCCCUACAUUACCCCUACCUGUGUGGGGUAGAUCCUCCAAGAAAAAAAGUAAGAAAGGAGAAUGCCAUAAUCAUUACAGCAAUGAUUUUAAAAAAAAAAAAAACAGAGUAAUAUUUUUUUUUAGGAUAGUAAAUCUUAAAAAAACAGAGUAAUAUGAAACAAAAAGAAGUAAGAGACCUCCCCCCCCCCCCCCCAAAAAAAAAAAAAAAAAAAANNNNNNNNNNNNNNNNNNNNNNNNNNNNNNNNNNNNNNNNNNNNNNNNNNNNNNNNNNNNNNNNNNNNNNNNNNNNNNNNNNNNNNNNNNNNNNNNNNNNNNNNNNNNNNNNNNNNNNNNNNNNNNNNNNNNNNNNNNNNNNNNNNNNNNNNNNNNNNNNNNNNNNNNNNNNNNNNNNNNNNNNNNNNNNNNNNNNNNNNNNNNNNNNNNNNNNNNNNNNNNNNNNNNNNNNNNNNNNNNNNNNNNNNNNNNNNNNNNNNNNNNNNNNNNNNNNNNNNNNNNNNNNNNNNNNNNNNNNNNNNNNNNNNNNNNNNNNNNNNNNNNNNNNNNNNNNNNNNNNNNNNNNNNNNNNNNNNNNNNNNNNNNNNNNNNNNNNNNNNNNNNNNNNNNNNNNNNNNNNNNNNNNNNNNNNNNNNNNNNNNNNNNAAGCCCCCCCCCCCCCCCCACCAAAAAUAAAUAAAAAUGAAAAAUCAGAUCUUAUCUAAGGAUGAAAACCUUUAAGAUUGAACUCAUACCUUGCUCCUGAAGUGCAUGGGAAGCAUUCAGCUUGGAAUCAAGGUUAGUAUGUGCUAGAUAGGCUAAUGGUUGCUGAAGAAUUUGCUCCUCAUCAACAUAGUGAAAGAUAUCAUUGAGGACAAAGUAUCCUUUUUCCUGGGGUGCAAGGAAAAAUGAUUGUACAAACUUCCUACUCCUGUUGAUACCUUUCACAUUGACAGAACCUGAAACCAUCACAAGGACACCACCAUUCCAUGAUUCCAAGGAAUGGAGCGUUUUUAUCUCUAUUCCAGUGUACUGGAGUGACAUGACAAGGGUGUGAAUUUGCUGCAGAACACAGAAAGAGCAAUGAAAAAAAGUAGUAGAAUGAUUAAUAUUGGGGGCUAAAGGAGCAAUACACAUCAUGAACCAUGAUUAUUAGUUAGUUGAGAAUAACAGAAGUUUUAUUAUAUUGGAAUAGUACUAAUUAUAGAAGUUGUUCAAAGAUAAAAUCUCCCUCUUUUGUGACUUAGAAAUCUUUUACUUUUUUUUUUUUGAUAACCGAGAAAUCCGUCUGUGACCCGCCCUUUGGACCAAUCACAGCCUUCUAAACUCGGUGGAUAAUGGGCCCGCCCCUCUACCCUUCUCCACUUAAAUACCGGGCUUCGCUUUGCAUGGUGUGGGGCUUGAACCUGCGACCUAAGCCACAAAUUCUCCACCUUUUACUUUUAUUAGUAUAUUAAAGCAUGCAAGUAUCAACUCACAGGUAGUAAUCAUUUUUUUUAAAUAAAGUAACCCAUUGGUAGUUAUGAUACUAAAAAGGAACUUGCGACAGCAGCAAAAUAAGAAGCUCCUCUGAUGGAAGUGCAUGCCUUGGGGAACUUGACACUCUUUCAGGUUUCAACUUCUAGCGGACAGAGAAAAAACAUUAAUACAGCUGACUGGGGAGACAGAGAACUUGAUGGACAAGCUUCAAUUUUUGUUUUUCAGAAAAAAUAACGUUUAACCUAAAAAUCUAGAACAUGGAUGCUAAGGCUGCACUCAUAUGAUAUUUUUCCAUAUUAGGUGCUCUGUUUUAGAACAGGACUACAUCAUAGAAAAAUUCAAAACUAAUCUAGAACGUAUGGACAUCAUAUAGAUGACAUGACUGUAGACAUGAGGUUCCAGUUAAGGACAUGCAUCUAGCAAGAGCGACCAAUCAUUGGUUAGCCAAUUAUAACCACUUAAUUUAGAAAUAACUUCACAGAAGAUUUUGCUCAUAAGGAAGUUAGACAAGGAACUUAAGAUAAAAUACCAGCAUUCCUGAAGCAGUCUCUCUGGUGCUGGAAUCAAUUCGAAGCACGGUACUAGCAUCACUGUAGAACUGGUGAACAAAAUCCGGUUGGGUCUGCAACAUCUGAUAAUACUGGCCCACAAAGUAUGUCCCCACCUGAAUCAUUACCCAAAACCGCAGAAAGAUGAAAUUCAAAUCCCAGACGUUAAAUAUCAAUCAAUCAAUCAACACUUCAAUCCUAAAUUAGUUGGGAUCGGCAAUAUGAGUUCUUUAUAUAUUCCCCUCUAUUUAGACUCAUUUCAUUGUAACACUUAUAAGUAAUUUGACUUCUAAAGAAAAAGAAGGGUUCUAUACGGAAUAAAGGAUCUCUAACCUAAUCUAAUGUAAGUGAAGUGAUAACAACUAACCUAAAUAGGUUAGUCCUAAUUACUACAUAGCUAAUAGUUUUUUGGAUCAUUUAUCCUUAACUAGCUGGUAGUGUCUAUAUAUAUCGUUUGUUUCUAUUGUGCUAUAUGCUUAAUUAAGUUUGCAUUGAUUACUAGAUUCAGAAGCUCUUUUCUCAGAAAACCUGUCCCCAUUUAGGACAUUUAAUCACUACACCAUCACAACUACAUACAUAUGCAUUUAUAGGGAAAUAAACACCAAAAAAAAGUUUCCUCUAGUAGUUCCUAUAUCUCUUAAAACUGAAUAUACACACGCAUAUCCAUAAAGACUUUUUCUUGAAACAGGUAACAUCAUAUACAUAAAAAGUUCAUCUUUAUACUACAGAACUGUUUUUUGGAACGAAAGAUUUCAGCUUUACACUAAAAAAAAUUUACAUUUCCAAAUCACUUAAUACCCAAUUCGACACGGUAAGGUAACUAGCAAAACAGGGUAAAUGACCAUGGCCAGAAACCAGGUAAGGCAAAGGGGUUUCAUCCAAAAAUCCAUUCAUAUAUAUAACCACAGAUAUAAAAAAAAAAAAGCAUUCCUCGCUCCAUUUACAAAUGACUAAACAGACGUGGAAGAAACAGCAAAAACACAAGUUUGCCCUCACAUUUCUACUCAACUUCUCUGUAAAUGACUUACACAAACAAGGAAUAAACGGAUAAAGACUCUUUUUUAUAGCAGAAGAGAUACCUGAGCAGCAGUGACUGGCAAGUGAAAAGGCGUCGCCAUUUCGUAAAACCCGGUGGCGGCGGCAGCAGCUUAAGCAGCGGUAGAAAUGAACUCGUCAAUCCAAUUAGAAUGAGAAUCUAAAAAACCUAGAUCUAACAAAAGAUCUAAAAUCCCCAAAAAAAACCCUAGAUUUUCAGCAUUCACAUUUGCGCCGCAAGCAAAAAAGCAGCAACAGAGUUUUCUCCCAUCACUCCACAAACAGUGAAUAGCACUUAAUUCGCUCGUCACUGACUCUUCAAUUUCUAGAGAGAGAAAAUGGAGUGACCGCUUGAGACCACUGGUUUUAGAGAGAGAAAGAGUGAGAGCUGCUGAAAUUUAUAGGCUUUUUUUUUCCCUCGUUAGAAGUAAGGUGCUGCUGCCUGUGUUUUUGGGACGGUGGCGCUGCUUUUUUAUUGGUUGAGUGAAUGUCCGCUUGUUAUCCACCGUUGAUUUAGACCUCAUGAUAGGGCUUUUUCUUUUUUAUUUGCUUAGAAUUAUCUACUAGUUAGUGUGAAUGUUUUCCAUGGAACAUGUUUGGUACGAAUAAAAAUGUGUUCUUGAACAAUAAGUUGUUUAUAACUUAUUUUUUUAUAUUUGGUUGGUGAGCGAAAAAUAUAAUUGAUGAAUGAAUUAUUUUUUUAGAAAAUAUCUAUUAAUUUUUUGCUAGAGAGUAGAAUUUAUUUUUUUAGGAAAAUAGUUUCUGACCUGAAAAUCAACUCGAUAAUUGAUCUGGCACCCGACCCAAACACCUGAUAUGGGACCUUGACCCCUACUCUUGACACAGGACUCGAUUCGAACUGGACUCAAUUUUGACCAUGACCUGAAUUGGGACAUGAUCCUAAGAUCCAACCCAAGACCUAAUCUCGACUUUCGAUUUGGGACCCGACUUUCGAACUAGAAUAUGAUCUUAAGACUCGACCUAGACUCCCAAACCCCAACAUUCGACUUAAGAUCCAACUUUUGAAUCAGUAUUUGACCCUAGACCCGACACCUGACCACCAUUCGAGACCCAACCCGAUCUCGACCCUAACCCAAGACCUGACCCCAACCUUGACGCCCAACUCGAGACCCAACCCUAACCCUGAUUUGAGACCCCACCCCGACUUGAUACCCCAACUCUAACUCCGACACCCAACCUCAAUCCCGACCCUAAUUUUGUAAAUUUAUUAGUAAGGCAAGAUAUGACUAAUAUAUAGCGUGAAGUGUCCUGUGAUAAAUUAAUAUUUUUUUUUUUGUAAAGUAAAUAGAGGGUGAGGUAGGGAAGGAAGGGAGGAGAUAAGACGAUCAGUGAUCGUAGUUUUGUUAAAUCACAAUGAUCAUAUACAUUUAUUAACAAGAAAUUAUUAGCACCAAGCAAGAUGUGACUACAAUUUAUAGGGGUGAUUAGGGGUGUAUAAAACCGAACCGAGAACCGAACCAAACCGCAAACCGAGUCAACCCGAAAAAAAAACCCGACUAGUGGUUUGGUUUGACUUGGUUUGGUUUUGAAAAAAAAAACCCGACUAUAUUUGGGUUGGUUUGGUUUUAACUAAAAAAAACCAACCCGAGACCAAACCAACCCGAAUUUAUAUAUAUAAUUUUAAAAUUUUAUUUUAUACAUAAAAAUAUUUACUUUGAUAUAAUUUUUAAAUAUUUCUUAUACUUGUCCAUAGUUUUUAUCUUUUAAUAUAUUAUUUCAAGUUUGAAACUUAGAANNNNNNNNNNNNNNNNNNNNNNNNNNNNNNNNNNNNNNNNNNNNNNNNNNNNNNNNNNNNNNNNNNNNNNNNNNNNNNNNNNNNNNNNNNNNNNNNNNNNNNNNNNNNNNNNNNNNNNNNNNNNNNNNNNNNNNNNNNNNNNNNNNNNNNNNNNNNNNNNNNNNNNNNNNNNNNNNNNNNNNNNNNNNNNNNNNNNNNNNNNNNNNNNNNNNNNNNNNNNNNNNNGAUUUCAUUAUUAUUAUUUUUGUUGGAUAUUUUAGUGUCAUUAAUCAUAUCAUAUUGUGUUAUAUUUUUAAGAAACAUCUUAGAUAGUUGUAUUUUGGUAGGACUAAAGAAAUAUUUGAAGUACAAGUAAAUUAUAUGUUGUGUAUGAAUACUUUACUGGAAAAACCCGAAACAACCCGAAAAACCGAAAAACCCGAAAAAACCCGAAAAAACCCGAGGUUGAAAAACCCGAGUUUUAUUGGUUUGGUUUGGUUCAUAAAUUUAAAAAUCCGACACAAAUGGUUUGGUUUGAUAUUUGAAAAACCCGAACCAACCCGGCCGUGUACACCCCUAGGGGUGAUAUACAAACGACUUAAAUGAAGUGAUGAUAGAUGAGUUAAAAUUUAAUUUUUGAAAGUAUUUAAGGUGUAAGGCAAGUUGGGAAUUGAUUGUAGUAGGGGUGUGCAAAAAUUGAACCGACCAAUAAAUCGAAUCGAAAAAAUGUUAUUGGAUUAUUGGGUUUUUAAUGGGUUCAUAAAAAAAAGUUAUUGGGUUAUUGGGUAAACCGAUAACCCAAUAAGACGGUAAUAAUUUACUACUUUACCCUACCUAAAUAUUAGAUAUUAAUAAUUUAAUAUAUAACUAAACACUAUAAUUACAUGAAAUUAUUAUUACUCUACCCACUUCAGACUAGACUUGCUUUACUAGUCUUUACUGUUUACUCAAAACCUAAAAACUAAAGUAAGGGUUCACGAUUGUAGUUAUUUGAUUUUAGUUUUAGUUUAAGUCUUGUUGGACUAUUUGAUUUUAAUUUUAGUUUGUAAUUGUAGGUUGUAGCUUUUGCAAGUUUGUAAAGGUCUGUAACUUGAUUAACAUCAUAAGAAAUUCCACACUAUGUUUUGGCGUUGACAUGUAAUUAUAACCUUCAUACUAUAUUUUCUCUUAUUGAUGCAAUUUCUCAUUAUCUUUCUUAUUUCACUAUAUCAAAGCAUUUAGAGAAGUGAGAAGUCAUCUAAUAUUUUACAGACAUUUUCUUAUUGGAUAAACCGAAAACCGAACCGAUAACGACCAAAAAUUGAUAAACCGAAAACCGAUAAAAAAAUAUCUUACUGGUUUGUUAUUGGGUUAACAUAUUUAAAAACCGAAAAAUGAUGAACCGAAUCGAUAAUACAUAAAACCGAAUCGAACCGACCUAUGCACACCCCUAAUUGUAGUUCUUUGAAAUCACAUCAAUCAUAUACAUUUAUUAAUAAGAAAAUAUUAGAAGUAAAAUAUAGUACCGUGAAACAAGAAAUUACUUAAAUAAAAUGGUGGUGACUGACUUUUUUAAAAAGUAAAUAAAUAAAUACAUGGCAGAGCAGGGAAAUAAGAAGACGAGUAGGGAUGACAAUGAGACGGGACAGUUGUGGGGCGGGGCGAGUUUCAGUAUUUGCGGUACAGUGCGGGUUAGAGCUUUUGCGGAGCGGGGCGGGUACGCGGGUUGAAUAUUUCUUUUUUUUGUCGUGUGCCUUGAAAUUGAAAUCUUUCCAGCUAAAGUUUGUCAAUACUCAAGAGCCUUGAAAUUGAAAUUCCUAGCCAUUAUUGAUAAAUUUCUUUUAUCUCUAACUCCAAUUUUACAUACCCUUUUAGGUAAUCAUGCAAAUUCUUGAUUGUCUCUUUUUAUUAAUGGGGUAUGUAGUUUUUCUUAUUAUUUGAUCCCAAUUUAAUAUUAACUGAGGAUAAAUCUUAUAGAUUCAUUAUAUUUUACUAUUUAGGUUGUGGAAAAUAAUACAAAAUCACUUGGUUCCUUAUGUAUUUGAAUAUUAUUUUUGCUAUUUUCUACUUUGCAAUUAAUCUUCUUAAUAUUAUGCACAUGUUGUUGUUAAUACUUAUUUUAAACUAGUAGAUCAUAUUAAAUUUAAUGAAACUUGAUUUUAGGAAAUUUAAUGAAACUUGAUUUUAGGCAUAAAUUUGGACGUAUCUUAUAUUGAAAAGGCAAAAAGUCAUUCGUAUAGUGCAGGAACACUCAUAUCUUUUUUACGUACUCUUUCAUUUUUAUUUCAAACUUGGGCUCGCUCCAGGCUAUGGUAUGGACCUUUCUCGAACAAGGGAAGGGCAACAUAGCAUUAACUUCAAUUGAACAAGCUUAACCUUGAAAAGAAAAGAUUGUAGACCAGCUUUGAACGCUUUAACUUGGCCACUAAAGAAGGCGAAGAUUGGACGAGAGACUAGGCCAACUUACUACUAAGCUUUAGGCUCCAUAGUUGAAAAUAUAUUCCUAUUUACUUAGUAUAUUUCUACAAGAAACAGAUCCCAAGCAUUAUCUAGUGAAAUUGCUUGUACUAAUAAUAAGGCCACCAAUUAGUUUGAGUCAUUUAAUAGUUUUCUAAAAUAUGAUGAAAGGAACAAUUACAUUUCUCUCUAAAUCACAAAAUGAAGGAAAGAGAACAAAAGAAGAAGAAAGCUCAAUGUAUGGGGAUGUAAUUCAAAUAGUUACAUCUUCUUUUGACCUAGUUAAAGCCUUUUUAGCCAUCUUAAUCCAUGAACUAAAAUUGUUCUUCUAUAGAUGGCAAAUUUCAACUUUUACAACUAAUAUACAAAGAAUCUUGUCCCAUCUUAUUGUUUCUUCCCUUCUGCUAAGCUAACUCGCAAUGCCCUUCCAUCCAAUUCCUGAUAAAGACAUAUACAAAAGGGUAAAAUUGUAAGUAGUUCUUUCAUUUUUCUCAAGAAAUUGAAGUUUCGUGUAUCGAUGAUAUACAAUAUUUAUGCAAUCAUAUCACUUAUAAGGUAAUUUUAUGUAUAUAAUACACGAAGAUACACUCGAACUGAUUUGUAGAACAUGUAUGUCUACUUGUUUAACUUUAUACAAACCUACUAGUGCUCACCAAAGUUUGAGAGCAAGCAUAGAUGUCAGUUGAGACCAAGUUAAAUGAUACGUUUAUGUAUUAUAUCAAUAUAAAAUGUGUUUGGUUUUACACUAGAUAAGUUGGGAUUUCCAACUUUAACCUUAGAUAUUUUGAAGAACUUUAGUGAAGGGCAUUUAGGAUUGUUAUCCUACCGUGAAGGUGGUUAAAAGUAAUACCUCAAUUGUGGUAUAAAUAAUCCCAGGAUCGAUAAAUUAUACCUUAUCGCACAAACCAAACGACUUAUGACAUAAAUCCUUUCCCACAAAAUGAGCUGAACAAAUGAAAUGUUUCAAAAAGAGAGUCCAAGAAAUGCAUACCACUCCAUUGAGAUUGUUAAGAGCAUUCUCCAUUUCUUCUCUAGUCUCAAAGCUCACAAAACCGUAGCCACGUGAUCUCCCGGUCUCACCAUCAUAUAGUACCCUAGCUCCAACAACAGCUCCAUAUUCUUGAAAUGCUUGUGCCAAACUUUCAGAUGAGACUGACCACGCCAAAUUACCAACGAAGAGCUUGUGUUCUGUUUCAGGGUAAAGGGGUUCUUUUGGUUUAGGCUUGUCCGAGAAAUUCACCCUUAAGGUUCUGCCACCAUACUCCUGAAAUCAGUGAAUCUUGGUUUAGUUUUAUAGCCUCAGAUCAUCUCAACGUCAGAUAUAUUUCGUAAUAUUCAGAGAGGAAGCAAACAUGAUUCAUGAAAGGAAAUUGAAAUAACCACUUACUCUUCCAUCUAGAUUUUCGACGACUGUCUUGCAAUCUUCAAGAGAACUCAUUGUCACAAAAGCAAAUCCUCUGCUUUUACCUGUGUCCCUAUCAUAAAGAACCUGGAGAAAUUGGAUAAAUUAGCAUGUAAAAUACAUUUAGGACAUAUAUAGGAGGAAGAUUUUGGUUUUGAUUAGGAUGAAGUUCUUUUGUAGCAUUAAAAAGAUGGUUAAAUCGCAGCAUACAUGCUUUUAUAACGUUUUAAUUACGAGCGCAGUUCCACUUCAGGUCAAGUCAAUCCAAGCUUCAAACCUUCUUGCGCGCAAGUGAUCACCUUUGCUCUUGUUAUUUCAACUGUCUUUCACUUACCUAACUCAGUCAAAACGAAAAGUAACAUUUUCUAAAUACAAUUACAAUGUUCAAUUGCUAACUUUCAUAUUCAAGUUCCGGUUCAAAUACUAGUUACGUUUGGAACUUUUUCAUCAUCAACUUAUUCAUGAAGCAAUAGGGUGCACUUGUUGGCUCUGUUACAUGAAUUUGUAGACAAGUAUGUGUCUACGAGUAUGUGUAAGUAUAUGGAGAGGAACAUUCAUUUUUUGUUUUCUCUUUUAGUACAUCUCGAGGGAUUUUGACAACGCAUCCACCUCUUAUCACAUUUUCUCGACACAAAUACGUCAAGAUAUAUAAGUGAAGGAUCCACGUAACAUAGCUAAGGUGGUACGACAUACGCUCACAUUUUAGCACCUAUUUAUUCCACGAGUACUUAUUUUCCAUGAGAUAGUAGUCAAGAUCAUUAACGACUCUAUGUAAACACUGAAUGUGUCGAUGUGGUUCACAAAAUGGUAACACAAAAGCCAGAGCAUAGAUUGAACACCUUAAUCUACUUCAAGAAGCAACUAUAACACAAUAAUAUGUCGAAAUUCAAUCCUCAACUAAGCAAGUCACUAGAAAAUAUUUUUGUCUCUAAACAAUUCAGUAAGAAAAGGCAACUACUUUAGCUUUUCAUAUCCCUGAUAUACAUGCACCAUAUAUACAUAGGCAAACAACACAAAUCCCACUCAUUUAGAGCCUAAUUACGUGCCUUCCCAUGAGUUUUUGAUAUUACCAUUUGUACCAGAUUUUGGUCCCCACAUACAUUAUCUGGCGCACUCUCUCGAAUACAUAGAGUCAAAAUUCGAUGUAAUUUCUUCUACAUACAUUGUAUUCAAAUGGAUUCGCAUGUAUAUGAGAUACGAGAUGGAAUUGACUAUACGAAUACUCAUAUUUCACUCUAAUUCAAGCAAAAUGCAUACCUCAACAAGCUCAGGACUAGCAUAGUCUUGAACAAUCCCAGCAAGUUGUGCACUAUCACAAAGAUACGGCAAAUUCCCAAAAUAAAGCUUAGUAUUAACACCUUCACUUUCACUACUCCCAUCGAAACCCUCUCCUACCUUCUCCUCCUCCUCAUCCACCGCCGGCACCGGCACCUCUUCCUCCUCCUCCGUCACCGCCGCUUCCACCUCCUCUUGCACCACCGCAGCUGCCAGCCUCGGCAAUACCCUCCACUUCUUGUAAAUCGACGUCACUUCACUUGACGACGAUGAAAUUAAAGUUAGAUUUGGAGUUCUAGUUGAUGAAAUUUUAAGUAGAUGAUCGGAAUUAGUCCAAUUUAAUGUAGAACGUAUACAAUGAAGACUGGAAAACGAAGAAGCUACUGCUGUGGCAGNNNNNNNNNNNNNNNNNNNNNNNNNNNNNNNNNNNNNNNNNNNNNNNNNNNNNNNNNNNNNNNNNNNNNNNNNNNNNNNNNNNNNNNNNNNNNNNNNNNNNNNNNNNNNNNNNNNNNNNNNNNNNNNNNNNNNNNNNNNNNNNNNNNNNNNNNNNNNNNNNNNNNNNNNNNNNNNNNNNNNNNNNNNNNNNNNNNNNNNNNNNNNNNNNNNNNNNNNNNNNNNNNNNNNNNNNNNNNNNNNNNNNNNNNNNNNNNNNNNNNNNNNNNNNNNNNNNNNNNNNNNNNNNNNNNNNNNNNNNNNNNNNNNNNNNNNNNNNNNNNNNNNNNNNNNNNNNNNNNNNNNNNNNNNNNNNNNNNNNNNNNNNNNNNNNNNNNNNNNNNNNNNNNNNNNNNNNNNNNNNNNNNNNNNNNNNNNNNNNNNNNNNNNNNNNNNNNNNNNNNNNNNNNNNNNNNNNNNNNNNNNNNNNNNNNNNNNNNNCGAGAGGGCUGCUGCGGGGGCGGCGGCGGCCGCCAUGAUUUCGCUGGAAUUUCAAUUUUGAUCGGAGAUUUUAUUUUAGAUGGAGAAGUAUUAUUAGUGAAGAGAUGAGAAAAAAUGGAGGGAUAUUAUUAAUGAGUAUUUAAUUUUUUUUUGAGUGGUGAGGUGGAGAGAUGAAAUCCAAAGAGAUAGGAGAAAAUAUAGAUGAAGUGGAUAUUGUAUAUAAUUGAUAAGGUUUUUGGAUUAUUACUUUUUUUUUUCUUGUUUUAAUUGAAUUGAAACUCUUUUUUUUAUUGGCUAUGUUGGUAAUCUUUUUGUAAUGUUGGUGUUUUCUUAGCCACACAACAUGUUGCAAACUUUCUAGAAAGUGAAAUGAGAAACAAAAGUAAAACAUAUGUAAUCACGUAGAAAUAGGGAGACUGUUUUUGAAAAAUCUUUGAGUUUAGUAUAGUAGAUUAAAGUAGUUAUGAGAAGGAAAUACGAUAGUGAAGGGAAUAAAAGAUUGUAUCGAAUAUUCAGAAAAAAGGAAUAGUAAUAACAAGGAAAUAAUGUGAUAAUCGAAAUAUGAUAGACAAUAGAUGGUAACAUAUUUCAAAACAAAAAAACUACAUUUCUAAGAAAUGUUUGUCAUCGAUUGACAUCUAUUCUCCUAUCUAUAACUAAUCAGUGAGUUCGUUUUAGUAUAAAGUGAGUAAUAGUUUAACUAUGAAGCUCGUAAGAUGGUGAUGAUUUAGAUGAUAAAUGAAGGAUGUAAUAUAUAGAUUGUUCUUUUAACUUGACAUCAGUUGACAUCUAUGUCUUCCAACCGCACAAAUAGACAAUUAAACUUGUAUAAAGUUGAACAAUUAGAUAUGCACGUCCUAUAUGAUGUAAUACAUUAAGAUGCGAAUUGCCAAAAAACCCUGAACACAAAAUUAUCAAAUUGUAUGAGAAAAUGGCCUUGUUGAAUAAGUUCAAAAAAGUGUUUGAUGAAAUGCCUGAGAGAAACAAAGUCAUAUGUAAUGCAAUGAUUAGAAGGUAUUUUCAAAAUGGGAAUAUUGAGAAAGUUGUGUUUUGUAUAAUGAAAUGCCUUCUACUGAUUUGUUUUCUUAUAACACCAUGACUUCAGGCAGAAACGAAGUCAGAAUUUUAAUUUUAUGGAUUUUAAAUAUUUAAAAUAACUAUGUUAAGUGCUGAUAACUGGAUUCUAGAUUUGAAUUGAGUUAAGAAUCCAUGUUUGGGACAGUAUGAAAAAAAGAACUUCCUAUAUUAUACUAUUCAAUUCUCGACAACGAGCUGAUUUGAUAGUUUAGAUAAUGGUAUUCUUGAUAUUGAUCCAAUUUAAGAUAACCAAAAGAUAAUAUUCAUUCAUUUAAUUUACAGGCGAAAGAUUUAUUAUCUUCAUGAGAUUAAAUCCCGAUCGAGUUCAAAAGUUUAAGAAAUUAAGCCUUGUGCAUCAUAUCAUAUAUAUUGAACACCACAUUUUAUGUUUGGUACAAACUUUUCAUAAGUAAAGCUUGUCUAUCUUAUUCAAAGUUCUUUCCAUGACAUAUAUAGCAAUUGGAAAGAACACACACAAAAAAAAAAAAAAAAAAAAAAAAAAAAAAAAAAAAAAAAAAAAAAAAAAAAAAAAAAAAAAACUAAAACUCAAACCCCUUGGUGCAACUCUUCAACUCAGGUACGUGCAUGUCUGAUUCUUUUUUCAUCACUUAGCGUAGACAGAAGGAUUAGUGAGGAGGUAAUCUUCGACAGCCUUGAAAAGUUCCAUGGCUUGUUUCUUGCCUUCAUUGUGUUCUUCUUCCUUUAAAACAUAGUCACCUUUUGUGUGGUACUCAGUUUUUGUCUUGCAAACACAACCUCCAUUUCCAGCAGCUUCAAAUUUGAUAUCAUAGGUAAUUGAUUCCAAUUUGUCUCCAAGAACAUCACCUUCUAUAAGUGAAUAUUUUGUUACCAAAUUCUUGUCAUCAAUUGCAUGAAUCUUGUGCUUCAAGUACUUUAUUGGACCACCUGAUAUUAACAAAAAUAAUAUAAGUUUCGUAUAUUAUCGAUGUAACUAAUUUUUUAAGUUAAGUGAGUCAGGAUAUCUAUAGAUAUGUUAAAUGAACGAGUUGAAAUCUAUUGUAUUCUAUUAAAAACACAUCUAAAGUAUUCUAAUUUUUUGAGUUUUAUAUCUUCUUUUUUUAGUGAGUUUUAUAUCUAAACUAUCAAAUGUGUGAGUUUCUAUCACCAAAUAUUUAUCAAAAUAUACUUAAACUAUCCGUUGUUCAAUUUUUUUAUCUGAACAAUAAUGAUAUUUCAGGUAGAAAAAAUAGUUCAAAUGUGUUUCGAGAAAUAUUUGAUGAUAGUCCAUGUAUGGAACUCACAUGCAUAUCAAAACACACUUGAACUAUCAAUUUUUCACUUUUCUUAUUUGAUCAAUAGUGAUAUUUCAUGUAGAGAAAAUGAACGACUGAUAGUUCAAAUGUGUUUCGAGAAAUUUGAUGAUAGUCUAAGAUAGGAAACUCAUACACAUGAUAGUUCAAAUAUGAAACUCAAAAACUUGAUAUACUUUAAAUGUAUUUUUAACUCGUCACUCCAAUAUAAUAUAAUUAAUCGUAUACACUAACGAUAUACAAAAGAUAUUUAUACAAUCAGAUCGUUCAUUUAAACUAGCUAGGUAGUAAAAAUGAUAAAUGUAAAACUAAUUAUAUUACCUUCAACAAAGUUCAUCUUCUUGAUACUUCCAUCUCCCUCAGUCUCAACAUUCUUAACAUUUGGCAUCAAUUUAGGGAUAAGAUUGUCAGCAUCAACAACCAAAGCUUUGAACAACCUAGUAGGGGACACUGUGCUUGUGGCUUCAUGUGUAUAGGUAGUGACACCCAUAGUGUUAAUUUUCUUUCAACUUUUUUUUAGUAAUUAAAAAGAGAAUAUAUAUAAGAAGUGAAAUUAAUAUGCUAGCUAGUUUUGAGUUGUGGGAUGUAAUGUUUAAGUUUUAGAUGGUAUUUAUUUUUAUAGGGUAUAAAAUAGAGUGAGAGUUAAGAGUUUGAAGUCAUCACCAACCUUAGCUUUAAUGUUAAUUUCAAUAUUCAAAGUAGGCCAUUCUUGACCUCUAUAUUAUUUUUUCUAGAUGGUGAUGGUUAUCGCGUCGUAAGUAGUGAAAUUAGAAUUUAAAUUUUAUGCUUUAAAUUCAUUAUAUUUCGAAGUUAUGAGUUUAUACUAUCUAUUAUUUGUUGCACAUAAUUUUUAUGAAUUUAUUGUAUUUCACGUUAAAAAUAUUAGAUUCAAAUGAAUCUGUUACAUUCAUCUCUAUCACCGCUCUUAAUCGAAGUUUUUGAAUUAUGAAUUCUAAAGAUGAAAACAACUUUAUUCUUAAUCAGAUAUAUCUUAAAUUUGAUUCCUAAAUGAAGAUGAUUCUAAAAAAAAAUAUUUUUCUCUUUUAACAAACUUUACACUAUACAAAUUUUCAAAUUAAUCGAGAUUGAAAAUAAUAUCGAACAUCAGAUGAAAAAUGAAAAUAUAUAUUCCGGUUGCGUCACUUAGUUCAAAUUAAUUUGUUGGUUGUGGCGUUGGAUAACUUCAUGACAAAAUGGUCUAACAAUGAGGCCCGAUGACACAUUAAAGUAUACUCCAUAUCAAAAUUGUGUCAUAUAUAUCCAAAUGCUUUGUGUUUUUUCUUAGUAUUUAGAGUAAUAGAUAAUGAUAUUAAUUAAAAUCAAGAUAAAUUAUACAAAUAAAAUAAUUUUAAAUAAUAUUUGUUGAAUUUGGUUUUAAAUUAAACUUUGAUGGUAUGACUUUAUUACAAAAAAAUUGGGUAUUAUAAUUAUAAUAAAAAAUGAUUAUUGGACAUAAAAAAUUUGUGAAAGUGAAUAACUUUUUAUAUGAUACAAUUCAAAAGUUAAAGAAUUUUGUGUUUUUUUAUUUACAUAUUUUAUAAAUAUAAUAUUGUAUUUAGAUUUUAAUAUAAUCAAGACAAUCUACCUUGCUCAAGCGUUACUAACAAACGGACUCAGCCUGAGCUAUAAAAACUUUAUUUUUAGAUGGAUUCAAAAAAUAAAAAAUAAAAUUGUCCAACUUUAUUAAAUUACGAAUUGAUCUGGAUCGAUAUAACAAGUCAACAUAGUUGAUCAUUAAAUAUCUUUUAAAAAGUUUAAUUUGAAAAUAUAAAGUAAAAAAAAGUUACCUAACUUAUGAUAUUUUCACAUAAAAUAAGAUGAAUAAUAAUAAGUUAUUGCUUGUUGCCUUUUGGUAAUUGGGUGGGUAGGUGUGAAGGAUAAUAUAAAUUAAUUAAGGAUAUGGUUUUAAACGACUUUCCGCAUAUAGUUUCUGCAAACUGUUUUCUUUAUUUAUGUUUAGAAUAAAAAAUAAUUAUGAAUUUAAGUUAUAUAUAUAGUAAGUAUAAGAAAAUUUUAUAUUAUCAAUAUAUAUUUAUCUAUUAAUAUAAGUUAUAUGUUUUAUUUUUCAGAUUAUUUUUAAAUAUAUUUAAAUGAUCUAAUAAUAAUUUAUUAUCUUGAAAUAUUUUAUUUUGCCUUUUUUUUCGAACUCUUAUCGAUGUUUUUGUCUAAAAGUGAAAUCUUUUACAAGUGUAGAAAUAUUGACUAUAAGUAAAGCCAAUAUUGCUAAUGUGAAAGUAGGAAUUAUGUCAUGUUUGGAUGCAAAUUAUAAUAUAUAUCGUGCAACUCAUCAUAUACAUAUUCUAAUAUUAUUUAGGCGGAAUGACUUGGGAGACCCCUGUACUUGACUUCUUUUGUCAGUUGGACCCUCCUACCAUCACUUUGCCGAUCAAACCCUUAAACUCAUCAAAACACAAUAUUUUAAACUCCUCUGACCAUUGACCGAGCUUAUGUGACAUUAAUAUUGGUGAGUUGGAAAUAUGCGUGAUUACACGCGCUUAAAAACGAGUUAAAACAAUAUUUUACUUUUAAAAAAAUCAAUUUAACAAAAUUUUAAAAAAAAUCAUCUUCUUCAACCCUCCUUCACCCACACCCACCCUUUCUUCUUCUUCACCAGCCCUCUCUCCUCUACCCCUCACCACAGCCCUCACCUUUCUUCUUUCUCCGGCCCAUUCUUAUUUCUCCACCCCCACAUUCACUCUUCUCCGCCUCUUCUUCUUUUUUUUUUUUUUUAUACAAAUCAUUGUGAAGGAUGAUUGUGACUAUUGAAAAUUUUAAAACUCCAUUGAUAAGUUUGAAAAAGCUUAAAAAAUAAUAAAUGGGUCUUGUGAAUUUGUAAAAUUACUUAAAUUUUUUGAUUGGGGUUCAUUGAGUUUGUGUUGGUGAACUUGUAGUUGAAUUUACAAGUUAAAUCAAGAAGAAUUUGAUCUGAUGGGUAUGAAUCUAGUGCUCAAUUUGUGACCAAAUAUGAAGAAGAUGACUAUUUGAAAAGUUAAAGAAAUUAAAAAAUUGAUUUAUUUGAUUUUUUAAAUUUUUUUAGCACUUAAUUUCGCAUGUGGCACUAAAAAUGAUGUGGAAUUUCACGUGUAAUCGCGUCCAUUACACGAACUCUGACCAGAGGAGAAAAGGGUUUAAAAUGUUGUUUUCUAAUGAAUUUAAGGGUCUAGUUGGCAAAGUGAUGAGUAUGAGGGUUCAACUGACAAAAUGAGCCAAGUACAAGGGUCUUUCAGGUCAUUCUGCCUAUUAUUUAUACUAUUUUAAAAAUAUUUAUACUAAUUAGUAUGCUUGAGAUGUUGCACAUGUUUAAUAAAAGACAAUUAUUGGGAGAUCUCUAUUCUUAAUUAGAAAUCUCAAAUUUGAAUUGCCUUUUUGGAAAAAUAAUUUUUUUGUAGAGAGCAUCAUCUCUAGAAAAAGACCUGACAUUAUAUAAAUUUAAAUUUAAUCAGAUCCUAAUACGAAGAUCGAACAUGAAAAAAAUAAAAUCGUUCAUUCAUUAGAGACUGAAAGUUUUUUGCCUUGCGUUUACCCAACAAGUAUUGCUAAUUGAACCAUUAUUGAACUACAUAAAAUAUUUUAUUUGAAUAACUUUAAUAUUUCUUAGAUUAUGUUUAAUUUAUUAUUAUGAAAAUUAAUUAGUUUUGUCAUUUGAUUAUUUUAUAUUAUGUAUUACUAAUUUUUUUUCUCUUUUAUCAUAGUAAACAAAAAAAAAAGAAACUCUUAUCAGAUUGCUGUCUAGUCUAUUCCAUCUUUACUGACUCUUGUUGUGAUUAGGACAUCCAAAAUAUUUUCUCCAAAUUUGAGACCUAAUUUUAAUGUGGAACUUUGACAACGUCAAAGUAUGCAACGCCAUUAAUUUUGAUAUCUCAACAGAAUAUACCGAGUUCAAAUUCUAAAUUCACCUCUCUCCAUCUUCUAUAGGCUCGUUGAGAUAUCAGGAGAGAAAUAACUACAUACUCGGAUCCAUCAUCCAUGCUUAUUAGUUAUUAUGAUGAUAUCCUAAGAAGUAAGGAACUAUACUAUAGAUGGUCGAAAUUAGUUGUUUAUCACUCCUUUUGAUUCAAUUUAUGUGAUAUAGUUUGACUUGACACAAAAUUUAAGAGAACAUAAAAGACUUUUGAAACUUGUGAUCUAAAAUACGUUAUAAAUAUUUGUUGAAUAUACAAAUUUAGUGUUCCAAAAUCUCAAUAAUAAUGUUAGUUAGUAAAAUACACCUCUAAUUAAAUAUUUCGAGAUAUGUAAACGUCAACAAGGAUCAAGUAUUGUAAAACGGAGAAAAUAGGAUGAAUACUCACACAAAUAUAGACAUAUACUUUUUUUGUUGAAAAACCCCUAAAUUUGCCGUGAACUAUUAGUUUUGUUCCCAAACUAUUUUGACUGCCCGAAAAACACCUCUACUCAACUAACUGAACUUAGAGACGUUCAUAAUCUUGUCACAUGAGUAAAAUACACCCUUAAAUUCUCGUUAAGUUUAGUGGUGUUUUUAUUAAGAGUUUCAGAUUCCUAUACAAUUUUGAGACCACUUGCUAUGUCAUGUGAAAGAUCGGAAUAUAUUUAAAUUGAAUUAAUCAAAUAAAAAAGUGGUUUUAAAAUUGUCAAUAAUUUGAGAAUGAAACUAAUAAUUCAAUUCAAGUUUUGAAAAUUGUUGACGUCUUAAAAUUUUCACAAAUUGUGCCUUGGGCUUCAUAUAAUAUAAUUGAAAAGGAUAUAUCAAGGCUUGGUACAAGCAAAAAGAAAGCAAAGCUUUCAAUAUUAUUUAUUGGAAGUUCUUUCCAUGUCAUACAAUUGGAAAGAACAAAACACACAACAAAAAACUAUAACAAUGUAAAAACUCAAGCCCAUGGAACUUUUGAUCAAACUUUUUCGUCUCAGCUAAAAGUUUAAACUUUUUAGAAAUAACACACGUAUAUAUAAUUAUAUUUAAUUAUAUAAUAUCGCAACACGUCCUGAUCAUCUCUCACGUGUGGAUCUGAUUCAUAUUUCAUCACUUAAGCGUAGACAGAAGGAUUAGCAAGGAGGUACGCUUCGAUGGCCUUGAAUAGGUCAAUGGCUUUCCCUUUGCCUACAUUGUGUUCUUCUUCACUAACAACAUAAUCACCUUUUGUGUGAUACGUAGUUGUUGUCUUGCAAACACAACCUCCAUCUCCAGCAGCUUCAAAUUUGACAUCAUAGGCAAUUGAUUCCAAUUUGUCUCCAAGAACAUCACCUUCAAUAAGUGAAUAUUUUGUUUCUAAGUUCUUGUCAUCAAUCGCAUGAAUCUUGUGCUUCAAGUACUUAAUUGGACCACCUGUCAUUAAAAAAUAAAUAAAUUAAGUUUCAUAUAUAUCAUGAAUGUUAGUAAUAAUUUUUUACACUAUGAGGUUAUUCAAACAACAGGGUCAAAAUAGAUUGAGUUAAUAAAUAAACGAGUUAUUGAUCAGUUCAAAAGUUACUUAAGCUAAAAUAGACUAUCAUACGAGUCAUAUAACACAACAUGUCCAAUUAUUACUAGUUUUAGUUGCUUUGUUUGUUUUUUUUAUAUAAAUUUUUAUAGUACCUUGUAAAACUAUGUUAUGUUUUUCUUUAUUUUAACUGUGUAACAUAUCAAAUAAAAAAUUAUUCUAACAAAAGAGUUCUCAUGAGUUAAUUUAGACCGUAUAUUAGUUUAAUUUCUUACCGACUAAGCUAAUAGACGAGUAGGUCAAUAACUUUCCCAAACUCGGGUGGAUUAGACAUGUUAGGUUGAUGAACUAACUAUGUCACCUCUCUCUAUAGGUAUGUCUUUUAAUAAUAUGAGAUUUUGACAAAUUUCAGGUUCAUUAUGAAUAUCGAACAUCAAAUCGAAAAAAAUUAUGAUUUAACCAAGAUCAUAAAUUUAAAACAAACCUUCAACAAAGUUCAUUUGCUUGAUGCUUCCAGCACCACCAUCUCCCUCAACAACCUCAAUGCUCUUAACAUCAUGUGACAACAAUUUAGGUACAAGGCUGUCAAAAUCAAGAACCAAACCUUUGAAUAGCCUUGUUGGGGCAAUUGUGGUUGUGGACUCAUGAGUAAAAGUAUUCACACCCAUAAUGUUUGAUUAAAUAUUUGCCUUUUGAAAAAAAAAUGAAAGAGAAAGGAUAAGAUGAAUAUAAUGCUUUGAAGUGUGUGUGAUAUAAUGAAAGUUUUAGAUGGUAUUUAUAGGACAAAAAUGGAGUGAGAUUUGGUUGAUUAUUAUUUUAGUUUUGUCCCUACCUUGAAAAGUCAUAUAAAUAUAAAUCUUUGGACAAGUGGUUUACAAUUACUCGUAUUCAGUAUAAGUAAAAACUGUUCAAAUCUUUUGGAUUUAUCCUAUUACUCAUAAUCCAAAAAGACGAAUAUAUCAAACAAAAAAAAUAAAUUAUUUUUUAAUGAUUAUAAAAUUUUAAAUUAAGAUGAAUCGUUAAAUCUUAAUCUAAAAGGUGUAUAAGUAGUUGGAAAAAUUUGGUGAAAUUUUAGAAUUCUAUGUCAUGAGCAACCUUAGCUUUAGUAUUAAUUUCAACAUUCAAAGCAGUGCAAUGUUGACAAUUGUGUCCAUUUUUUAUUUUAUUUUUUCUACAUGUUGUGUCACUAUCUUUGAUAAUUAAUUUUGUUAGUUGUGGCAUUGUGAGAAUUUUAUGCCAUUAUGGUCGAUAAAAAUAAGGCUUGCUGACACGAUAUUAAGUUGAUUGGACCGUAGGAACCUACCAACGUGGUAGUGCUUUUCCAGUGUCCUUCUUAUUAGAAUUCGAUUAAAUACAAAUUCGUACAGAAAAGUCUUACAUUAGGAUAAAAGGUAUUCUAACAUAGGUGAUUUUGUAUUCUGAGUAACUCAAAUCCAUAACUGUUGAUUAAAGAUGAAGGAGUACUUACCAAUCUACAACAACCCUUAUUGAUAGUUCUAUUAAGUCUGAAAGUACAAAAGAACGUUCAUUUCCUGAUAUUAUUAUCAAUCAAUACUAAUUGCUUGAAUUCAAAAUUAUCUAAUUUCACGAGUUUGAGCUUUAUAAUAUCAUGAUAGGUGUUUUUAUUUAUAUAAAUAUAUAUAUUUAUAUUCAAUAUUGUUUAUAGUUAUAUCAUAAUAAUUUAUUUGAUUAAACUUUAAAUCGAUCAUGCUUGCUUUGGAAAAAACCAUUUCGAGAAAAGUAAUUUUCUACAAAGUUUAAAUAUAACCCAAAUUUAAUAAUUAACUUUAUAUGCUAAAAUUUAAUACUUUCCGUCCAAUUUUGGUUAUCAUGAUUUUCUUUUCUAGAGUGAAAUGAUAAGAAUUUUGACUAAUAUUUUAUGAUGUAUUUUUUUCAUUAUAUUGAUAUGUAAAAAAUUGCAAUUUAUAGUACUUUUUGAAUAGUUUUUGAAUAUCUAAAUUUUUUGUUUAAAAUAUCAAAUUAAUGUUAUCUAAUUUAACUUUAAAAAUUAGUUAAAUUGAUUUUUGAAAAACGCAGCACGACAAAUAAAAGUGGAUAGAGGGAGUAUUAUAUUAUGUAUAAAUAAUAUUAUAUUUGAUAUAGUUGGUUAGGAAUAAUUUUUAUAAUAUGAUGUAUAGUUUUGCAAUUUAAAAAUUCGAACAUCUUGAUAUAUGUGUAAAUUACGGGGAAAUUUAUAUAUUUAAUAUUAUUUUAUGAAAAAUAGGGGACAAAAUAAAUAAUAGAAUAAUACAAUAAUAUAUAUACCUAGUUGCAGCAAGAUUUAGAAAAACGUUGUAUAUUUCUAUCUCAUCAAAUAUAAAAUAACAUGAACAUGCUAUAUUACCUUUAUCUUAUUCUAAAUUUCUAAUAACACUAUAUGCAAUCAAACAUGACCUUUAGUCAUCGAUAUAAAUUAGAAUGAAUUGAAAUGGUUAUAAUUGCACCAUCUUAAUAUUAAAUCUCGAGAUUUAAGCUAUAGAUUUUUUUAAAAAAAAUUAUUAAAAUUAAUGCCCUCAAAAUAAGCCUGCAAAUAGAAAUUUGAAUUAAUCAAAUUUCAAUUCACGUAGAAAAUAUGACCUUUGUUAGUUCUUUUUAAAUCGAUAGUAGAAAGGUUGAGUGCAUACAAAAUCGCCACUUUCACAUUACCAAUUGGUUUUUACUUAGUCAAGAUUUCAUCAACUCCAAAGAUUUUAGUAUAAGACAAUGUUUGGCUUAGUCAAUAAGAUGUAGACAUUUAAAAGAUUUUUCUGAGAGGGGACAAAGAUAUAUAGUAUAUAGUACUAUAUACUAUAUAGUUUAUAUUAUCUUUAGAAAAAUCUUUUAAAUGUCUACAUCUUAUUGACUAAGCCAAACAUUGUCUUAUACUAAAAUCUUUGGAGUUGAUGAAAUCUUGACUAAGUAAAAACCAAUUGGUAAUGUGAAAGUGGCGAUUUUGUAUGCACUCAACCUUUCUACUAUCGAUUUAAAAAGAACUAACAAAGGUCAUAUUUUCUACGUGAAUUGAAAUUUGAUUAAUUCAAAUUUCUAUUUGCAGGCUUAUUUUGAGGGCAUUAAUUUUAAUAAUUUUUUUUAAAAAAAUCUAUAGCUUAAAUCUCGAGAUUUAAUAUUAAGAUGGUGCAAUUAUAACCAUUUCAAUUCAUUCUAAUUUAUAUCGAUGACUAAAGGUCAUGUUUGAUUGCAUAUAGUGUUAUUAGAAAUUUAGAAUAAGAUAAAGGUAAUAUAGCAUGUUCAUGUUAUUUUAUAUUUGAUGAGAUAGAAAUAUACAACGUUUUUCUAAAUCUUGCUGCAACUAGGUAUAUAUAUUAUUGUAUUAUUCUAUUAUUUAUUUUGUCCCCUAUUUUUCAUAAAAUAAUAUUAAAUAUAUAAAUUUCCCCGUAAUUUACACAUAUAUCAAGAUGUUCGAAUUUUUAAAUUGCAAAACUAUACAUCAUAUUAUAAAAAUUAUUCCUAACCAACUAUAUCAAAUAUAAUAUUAUUUAUACAUAAUAUAAUACUCCCUCUAUCCACUUUUAUUUGUCGUGCUGCGUUUUUCAAAAAUCAAUUUAACUAAUUUUUAAAGUUAAAUUAGAUAACAUUAAUUUGAUAUUUUAAACAAAAAAUUUAGAUAUUCAAAAACUAUUCAAAAAGUACUAUAAAUUGCAUUUUUUUGCAUAUCAAUAUAAUGAAAAAAAUACAUUAUAAAAUGUUAGGCAAAGUUUUUAUAGUUUGACUAAAAAAAAAACUAUGACAAUUAAAAAUAGACGGGGUUAAUAUAUGUAUAACUCACCUCAAAUGAACUAUACAUACCUCUAUUAAUUUUUAUGCCUUGAAAAUUGAGGUGGAUCGAAAUUCCACAUCUCGACAAAAAAGUUUUUCUUUCAAAUCAAAGUGGGAAAUCAAUUAUUUUUAGUAUUUCCUCACUUAAUUGUGACUCUGAUAAUAUAAGGAAAAAUCAUUUUGGCCAGAAAAUUUAGCUAGAAUUGGCCAGAAUAAUAUUUUAUCUUUUUAAAUAUUUUUAUCCUUUUAACUUUUAAAAAAUUAAAAAAAGAUCAGUUUAUUUUAAAAUAAAAAAGAUAUCAGAAACUUUUUAAAUUUUUGUUCUGACCAAAUUUUCUGGCAAUUUAACAUUACCCAUAAUAUAAUACUGUUUGGCGAAACUUUUAAGAAUCUAAUUGUUUUGAAAAGUAUUUUUUAUUACAAUUUUUUAUGAAAGUUUUGAACUUUUGAGGAAUGGUAGUUUCUACUUGAUCGAUCAAUUUGAAAAGCAGUUCUUUAUUAAUUAAAACGGUAAUUUAUGUUUGGUCAAGAUUUUAAAAUGAGUUUAAGUUUUGUGCAUCGUCGGUGUAAAAAAAUUUCUACACCAUCAUUAGUUCCUUUUAAUGAGAUUUAACCAUAGUAACUUAUUUUAAUAAAAUAACCAUAAUUCAUGAAAAAGGAAAAUCAACAAUUUACUUUAAAAAAAGAACAUCAACAGGUAGUUGAAUCAUACUUGGAUUCUAACCAAAAUUAUUUCCAUAAUUAAUUAUUCUUUUUUCAAAGUUAAUUACAAUUACUAUGUUUAUCGUAGGUUUUUCACUUUUUUCUAUAGCUCUUGUAAUUCUUCACAGCAUCAAACUUUUUCACAACAUCAAACAUUGUCAACCGACAACCGAUAAGAAAUAAUUUUUAAAGUGUCAAACAAUUUUGAAACUUGACACGCUUCUUCUACUUAGUGAUAUAUCGUCAUGCAAUUAGAAAAAAUUUCACAUUUUUCUCAUUUAGAAACAUAAAAAAGGCCCUUUUAAACAUAUCUUCACGAGCAAAAGAAUUUCAAUGCACUAAAAACAAGCGAACAUAGUCUCCUGAAAGGUGAAUAUUGUAUCUUAAAGUGUUUUCAUAUUGUCCCCAAUACUUGAGCUCUGUUCUUUAGAUUAUUGGGAAGGAGUUUAUUUAUUGAACUUUCACUAAUAUUAAAUAUAUUUUACAGUAAACGUGUUGACUAUUUAUAUGAUCAGAUUUAUAAUUAAUUGUAAGCUAUCUAACAUUUAUAAUUGUAAUUUGCAAGAUUAAUGGAAAAGUUAAACGUAGAUGAGCAAAAUAUAAGAGUUGAAGUUCCCUGAGAAGAAAGUGACGUACUUUGGAAGAAAAUAAUUUAGUUAUGAAAAUAAUUUUGGUUAGAAUCCAAGUCUGAUUCAACUACCUUGUUGAUGUUUUUUUUAGUAAAUGUUAUUUUAUUAAUACUAUGGUUAAAUCUCAUUAAAAGUAACUGAUGGUGUAAAAAAUUUUGUACACUGACGAUGCACAAAACUUAAACUCUUUUAAAAUUACUCUUUCAAUUUUUUUUCGUAUCUAUUUUUAUUCACGUACGUGUUUCUUAGUGAAUUAUGUAUAAUAAUGCAUAUAGUUUUUGUCACUAUUUUUUACAUGGUCCUUCUACAUUGCUAUUUGCUCCAUCUAAGUAUGCUUGUACGUGUAGUGCAAAUAACAACAACAGAACUCACCAAUCUAUCAACGAGGGUUGUGGUGGAGUGAUAACUGAUAAAUACUCAUUCAUCCUUAAUCAGAAGUCUCGGGUUCGAGUCCCCCAGAGUAAAAUAUUCUUUAUUGAAAGUUCUUUCCAUGACAUACACUUGGAAAACACACAACACACAACAAAAAACUAUAACAAUGUAACACUCAUCAAGCCCUUGGAAGAAUUGAAACAACUCCAUAUAUCAAUCAUUCAACUUUUACGUCUCUCAUCUAAGAGUUUAAACUUCUUAGAAAUAACACACACAUUUUAAAUUAUUUAAUAUCACAACACGUACGUGAUCUCUCACGUGUAGACCUGAUUCUUUUUCAUCAAUAUUUA